RNAcentral lists this long non-coding RNA (79273 nucleotides) under Malus domestica (apple). RNAcentral describes it as "long non-coding RNA (MDOM_LNC008049)". The record is from RNAcentral. Lineage: Eukaryota; Viridiplantae; Streptophyta; Magnoliopsida; Rosales; Rosaceae.
UUUUUUUUUUUUUUUUUUGUCCCCCCACCCCCCGGUUUUUGUACUACCUUUUUCUUCUUCAUUAGUUUAAUAAACGCAAGGGGCCCCUUUUAUUUAAAAAUAAAUAAAAAUGUAACCAGAUAAUAAAUGAUACAUUGCAGGAAGCAUGGCAAAACCCUAACCAAAUCUUCAAUAUUUCUUCUUUGAGGAUAAUUCUGCACAAAAUUCUCAUAUGGGCCAAAAGAAAUAUUUUUCAUAUAAAGUUAUCCCUAUUAUAGGAUUAUUUGAUUGAGCGAUCUAGGAUUAGAGAGAGAGAGGGGUGCGGCAAGCUUUAGGGAGAAGAGAGAUUGAUUUAACUGGUCUUUGGUUGUCAAAAUUGUUCUGCUCCGAAAUGUUUGAAUCAAUCAUAGAAAAUAAAGGAAAAUUACACAACUUAAAAACUUUUAAAUAAUAAUAGGAAGAUCAAAGUUUGGAAACUAAGGGAAAGAGAAGAAAAGUCUGGUAAAACUUCCUUAAGACAAAUUAUCUUAUUGCCAUGGUUGCUUUUGUGGGGUUUAGUUUUUUUUUUUUGUACCCCCACCCCCCGGUCUUUGUACUACCAUUCUCUUCUUCAUUAGUUUGAUAAACGUAAGGGGCCCCUUUUAUUUAAAAAAAAUAAAAAUGUAACCGGAUAAUAAAUGAUACAUUGCAGGAAGCAUUGCAAAACUAGGGGUGGGCAAACGGGUCCUGGACCUGCGGGUAGGGACGGGUACUGUCGGUUCGGGACGAGUUCGGGGAGGGGCCAAAAUUAAUAGAGACAAAACGGGGCGGUGCGGGUCCAUAACUUGAGAACCACGGGCCCCCGACUGGCCCGUUUAUAAUAAGGUUUUUGGUUUCUAAUGGUUUUAGACUUUCAGAAUUUCAGUCCCUCCCCCACUCCCACUCCCACUCCCUAGACUGCACUAAGUACCUCGUUCUCCCUAGUCUCUGCCACCCUCAAGCCUCAACUCGUUUCUUGUUGUCCCUUCACCUCUGUUUAUCAUUUUUCGUUCUUGACAAUCACUGAGUCGAUUCGACUUCAAUUGUGUUGACAUCACAGAUUGUUGCAACCACACGGCAUCACCUUACCAUCUUCCUGUAAAUCCCAAGGUAAUUUAUGAAUUAGGGUUGUUGAAUUAUGUGGGUUUCUUUGUGAUUUGGGAAUUUAAGGUUUUUAGUUUGUUCAAUUUCGGAGCUGCUUCAAUAACAAUUUGAAUUUUAGGGUUUCUUAAUUCUUUCUUAUUUAGGAAUUUAGGGUUCUUAAUUCUUUCUAUUCGUUUUGGAAUUGAUGAUUUCUUCUAUAACUUUUCUAUCAAGAGAGAGAGGAAUCUGAGACCAAGAAAAUUCUCAAUUAGGCAACAAACUUGGGCAUUUAAAGAAAUUGUUAUUGUUAAAAGGAAUUAGAUUUAAACUUUCCAGAUUUUCGUUCUUUGAUUCCCAAAUUUGCUGCAGAAUUUGAAUUAAGUUUUUAUGGUAGGAGUUAGGGUUGUUGAAUUAGAUUUAAAAUUCUCAAUUUGCUGCAGAAUUAGAUUUAAAAUAGCAAUUCGAAGAUUUGAUGUAGAUUUUCAUUCUUUGAUUCCAGAUUUUCGUUUGACAAAGCAAUGGAUGAUAAUAAAUUAUUAAUCCGGUUUUGAAAAAAAAAAAUGAAGCAAAUGGACCCGUGGACUCGAACUGGAACCGACCCGUUUCAAACAGUUCGGGUUAGGGCCGGUUCCAAUAAUCAGAAACACUAUACUUGGCCCAUCCCGCCUCGUUUCAUUUUAAAACGGGUCCGGUCCGAUCCCUUCAAAUUUGGGCUCGGGCCGGCCCGUGCCCACCCCUAGGCAAAACCCUAACCAAAUCUUCAAUAUUUCUUCUUUGAGGAUAAUUCUGCACAAAAUUCUCAUAUGGGCCAAAAGAAAUAUUUUCAUAUAAAGUUAUCUCUAUUGUAGGCCUAUUUGAUUGAGCGAUCUAGGAUUAGAGAGAGAGGGGUGCGGCAAGCUUUAGGGAGAAAAGAGAUUGAUUUAAUUUUGAGGUGUGUUUGAUUCACCCCAUUGUGCCUUUAUUUAUAGUAGUAGGAAAGGUAAAACCUUUCCCUUUAGGAUUACAACAUUUAAUAGGUAAUCUAAUCCUAAUAGGAAUAUAAGAUACAUUCCCAUAUUCCCUAGGAUUUACGCAAUCACAUUCCUAUUCUAAAUGACUGCAACACUCCCCCUUGAGUGUGUAAAUACUCAACAAACCAUCGCAUCAGAUCUUCAGCAGAUAAGGUAAAAUAGUUGAUGAAGUCAUCGGCACAACGGGUGAUCGCAAGUCUCAAAUUUACUUUGAAGUAUGCAUUUGUAAAAAACUCACAAAAACCUUGCUAUGGUAAAACCCAAGGGGUGGGGAAAACACAUAGACUAAGGAGAAAAGUAAGAAAAUAUGCAUAAUGUUAAAACACUCGUCAAACUGGACGAAGAUAGUGAACUCAUCAGAGUAUGAUCAUCCCAGGAUGGGUGCCUCAUUAAAACCUCGUUAGGUAGCAAAAACCCAGUGGGAAAAAUGCUCCUAAUUGUAGGAAAAAGAGUACAUUAACAUCAUGUGAGUAUGCUUUUAGAUACUCCCCCUGAGUUAGACAUAACUUCUAAAUAAAAGAACUACAAGCGAUUCAACUCAGAUAAUUUACGCAUACCGAUUCCUUGGACGAGCUUCUGAAAUGUAGACUUGGGCAACGACUUGGUAAAGAGAUCGGCAAGGUUGUCCUGAGAACGGAUUUACUUGACUUCAAUGUUCUGAUGCUAUUGCUGCUGGUGUGAGUAAAAGAACUUUGGCGCUAUGUGCUUGAUGUUGUCUCCUUUGAUAUAUCUCUUCUUCAGCUGCUCGAUACAUGCUGCAUUGUCUUCAAAGAUCAUCGUAGGAAGGUCAACGACUGAUGUAAGACCACUAGUGCUUCGAAUAUGUUCCAUAACUUCUCUCAGCCAAAAGCACUCACGCGAUGCUUCAUGUAGGGCAAGAAUCUCAGCAUGGUUAGAUGAAGUCGCAACUAGCGUUUGCUUGGUAGACCUCCAAGAUAUAACGGUGUCUCCAACAAUAAAGACAUAACCCAUUUGAGAGUGUGCUCUAUGUGGGUCAGACAUAUAUCCAGCAUCUGCGUAACCAACAAGGCGAGAAUCAAUUCGAGGGCCAUAAGGGGCGGCAACACUUGGAGAUUCACAGGUAUAGUACAAGCCCAAAUCCGUAAUACCUUUGAGGUAGCAAAAAAUAUCUUUAACACCAUUCCAGUGCCUGCAUGUGGGCGCAUUAUUGUAUCUAGCCAAUAUAUUCACACCGAAUGAGAUGUCGGGUCUAGUGCACUGAGCCAAGUACAAUAAAGCCCGAAUUGCACUUAGCUAAGGAACUUUGGGUUCCAAAAUCUCUUCCUCAUCCUCCUUUGGAUGGAAGGGAUCUCGUUUUGCAUCUAGAGUCCGAACGACCAUAGGUGUACUCGAAAGCCUUGCUUUAUCCUCAUUAAAACGUCGUAACACCUUUUGGGUGUAGUUCGGUUGAUGUACUAGGAUUCCAUCUGAACAAUGCUCGAUCUCCAGGCUAGACAGUAUUGAGUUUUCCUAAGAUCCUUCAUCUCAAAUUCCGAUUUCAAGUGUGUAGCAAUUUCCUCAAGCUCUGCGGGAGUCCCAAUGAGGUUCAUGUUAUCGACAUAAACUGCAACAAUUGUAAAUCCAAAAUGUGACUUUUUUAUGAACACGCAUGGGCAUAGUUCGUUGUUCACAUAACCCUGACUUGUCAAAUAUUCACUCAAACGGUUAUACUACAUCUGCCCGGAUUGUUUUAAUCCGUAGAGUGACCUCCUCAACCUAAUUGAGAGAGUGUUCUGUGGUCUAGAACUAUUUGAGCCAGUCAAUGGAAGUCCUUCUGGAACUUUCAUAUAAAUUUCCCUAUCUAGAUCCCCAUAGAGAUAUGCGGUUACCACAUCCAUAACAUGCAUAUUCAUCUUUUCAGACAUUACCAAACUGAUAAGGUAACGGAACGUUAUAAUGUCCAUUACGGGGGAAUACGUCUCCUCUUAAUCAAUCCUUGGGCGCUAAGAGAAGCCUUGCACUACAAGGCAUGCUUUGUAUCGCACUAUUUCAUUCUUCUCAUUAUGCUUCCUCACGAAAACCAACUUGUAGCGAACGGGCUUCACGCGUGGUGGUGUAGAAACGAUAGGUCCAAAUACAUUACGUUUCGCGAGCAAAUCGAGUUCGACCUGGAUUGCUUGUUUCCAGUUUGACCAAUCAGUUCUACGUCGGUAUUAAUCGACAGAACGUGGUUCAAUGGCAUCACUAAGCAUGAUUUCAGUAGCUACUGAGUACGAGAAUGCAUCGUCGACAAUCAUCUCAUUCCUAUUCCAAACCUCAUCCAAUAAUAUGUAAUGGACCGAAAUCUCACGAUUCUUGGGAGGCUGGCAUGUUUUAUCUAAAGCAUCACUGUAAUCUAGAAUAACCUCAUGCGUUGGAACGAAUGAGUGAGCGAUGGUCGGAUUCAAACUAGGGUCACUAAUUGGUGCCAUUUUCCUCUUCCGGUGUUGUGAAUCCUUUGAACCAAGAGGUCUGCCACGCUUCAAGGUCGAAGCAGAUGAUUGGCUAGCCGCCAAUGUACCUUGCCGUGUGGAAGGUGCGACCUCCCCACCUUUGGGGACAGUCCAACUUUCCCAGGCGAGUUGUUGACAUACACGGGGUACAUCUAUCCUUGCAGGUGUGUUUGCAGCGAGUAUAUGUGAUCUUAUCACCUUUGCUAGAUCAUUAAAAGCAUCUGGCAUGCUUUGAGCAAUGCUCUGAAGAUCUAUAAUUCGACGUACCUCAAAUUCAGACUGGGCAGUGCGGGGAUCUAAAUAAGAGAUAGUGGGAGCAUACCACGACAACUCACGACAUUCUACGAGAAUGUUAGCAUGUUUAUCUCCCCCUAACAACGGGAAGACUGUCUCAUCAAUGUGACAAUCCGCAAAAUGUGUGGUACAGAGAUCUCCAGUCAAGGGUUCUAAGUAGCGAACAAUUGAUGGUGAAUCAUAACCGACAUAGAUUCUCAUUUUUCUCUGAUGACCUAUUUUGGUAUGUAGCGGUGGCACUAUUGGCACAUAAAUGGUGCACCCAAACACCCAUAAAUGCGAGACGUCAGGCUCGUAUCUAGUGACCAACUGUAACAGUGAAUGUGGUUGGGUAGCAAUGAGCCUCAAGUGGACCAACAUAGCUGCGUGCAAUAUUGCAUAGCCUCAGGCAAAUACCCGCAAUUUGGUUAUCAUAACCAAAGUCCUAACUAUCAAUUGAAGGCACUUUAUGAAAGCUUCUGCCAGGCAGUUUUGGGUGUGAACAUGGGAUACAGGAUGUUCCACAUUUAUCCCUACUGACAUGCAAUAAUCGUUAAAAGUCUGUGACGUAAACUCUCCAGCAUUAUCCAGUCAAAUCGACUUGAUCGGAUAAUCAAGGUGGUGAGCCCUUAGCUUAAUGAUUUGAGCUAGAAGUUUAGCAAACGCAGCGUUGCGUGUGGACAACAAGCAAACAUAUGACCAUUGUGUCGAUGCAUCAACCAACACCAUAAAGUAUCUAAAUGGUCCGCAAGUUGGUUGGAUUGGUCCACAAAUGUCCCCUUGAAUCCCCUGAAGAAAUUUAUGGGGGUCGUGAAUAAUCUUUGUAUUGGAGGGUUGAGUAUUCAACUUCCCUAAAGAACACGCUUUGUAUGGUGGGAGUCUAACAUAGGGAUGUACUUAUGCCUAUGUGAAGAUUUGAGGAUACAGCGCAUCAUGUCACGUCCAGGAUGUCCCAAACGAUCAUGCCAAAGCAACAAAGUGUCCGGGAACUCAGGCAUAAGGCCGGCCACACUGUAGGCUUCUAUGCCGUGAAUGGUUGUGAUGUACAACCCACUCGGCAAGCGUUUCAACUUCUCGUGAAUAUGUUUUUGGCCAUAUGCAUACGAAGCGAUACAAAGAAAUUCAGAACCAUGAUCUUCAGUGGUUUCAAGAUGAUAUUGAUUAUCUCGAAUAUUUCUAAAAAUCAGCAACGUUUUUCUGGAACGUGGAGAAUAGAGUGUCUCCUUAAUGGUCAGAAUUGUACCAUUAGACAACAUGAUACGUGUCUUUCCAUAUCCUUCAAUCAGGUUGGAUGAGCCUGAGAGAGUUGUUAAAGGAAUUUUCUUAGGUAUGAAGUUAGUAAAAUAGUGGUGUUCACGCAAGAUGGUGUGCGCGGUUGCACUAUCUGCCAGACAACUAACUUCCCCACUAGACAUACCUAGAAAUAAAUUGAUUGAAUUGGUCACAUUCAUUCAAUUAAGCAAUUCGAGAAAAUAAUAUCCAUUCAAAUAACAAUCCAUAAUUCAAAACAAACCAAAACCAAACAAAUUAUUCCAAAUACUUAGAAAAAGUGUUCAAAAGUAAACCAUAAACCUAGCCAAAUAGGGGGUAGGGUCGGCCACUCCUAGUGGGUUCGGCCACUAGGGGUAACACCCUAACUACAUGUCUAAUUUAUUCAUCCAUAGGUGAUAACGCCUCUUGGAAAUCCAAUAUCUCCAUUGAUGUAGUUGCAUCUUCCGGAUGAUCCACAUGUGCAAAGUUAGACUCACGACAGGAAUGAUACUUGGCAAUAGCCUCAGAGGAAGCUCGGCAUACGCGUGACCAGUGAUCCCUUGAUCCACAGUGAUAGCACAUGUCCAAUUCAAUAGAAGCAGCUUGAACGGGAGCUUUGCCCUUGUUCUUGAAAUUUGGGACCUUAGAAGCAAGUGGUGGACGCUGCUGGGUCGUAAUUCUUCCCUUAGGUACGGCACUCUGUUGACCUUGGGCUCAUGGUUGGGCUUGCUACCCAUUGCCACUGCCACGACGAUUCUUUUGUCGUUUAUGACUGCUAGAAUAGGUCGCAUGCGCUUCAGGCACGACGUUCGAGCCAGUGAGUCGAGCUUGAUGAUUCUUCAUUAAAACCUGGUUCUGCUUUUCAGCGAGAAGUAAAACAGAGAUCAAAUCCGAAAACUUGGUGAAUUUAUGUGCCCUAUAUUGUUGCUGCAAGAUAAUAUUGGUGGCAUGGAAGGUCGAAUAGGUCUUCUCCAGGAGAUCUGAUUCAGUUAGUUCCACUUUGCAGAAUUUCAACAGAGAACGGAUUCUACAAACUUCAAAGUUGUAUUCAUUCACAGACUUAAAGUCCUGGAAGUGAAAAUGCUGCCAGUCGUGUCUUGCUUCAGGAAAAUAUAUGUAUUUUUUAUGAUCGAAACAGUCGACCAGAGCAAGCCAGAGGGUGCGUGGGUCCUCCUCAGUGAGAUAUUUAGUCUGCAGUGCAUCAUGAAUGUGUCUUCGGAUGAAGAUCAUUGCAGUAGCCUUCUGAGCUUCGUCAAUAGGUUUGUCGGUGAUAGGUGUCUUGAUGGUGACUCUAAUACCCUUUGCAAUAAGAUGGAGUUUCACGUCUUGAACCCAUUUCAGAUAAUUUCUUCCAGAGACUUCUAGAGCGGAAAAAUCAAGCUUGUUUAAGUUCGACAUGUCCCUAGCAUGGAGGGAGAAAACAUGAUGAGUCAUAUGGUAAGCCAUAGACAUAUAUCGUAGAACAUACAGGUUCUUUAGACAUGUAUUGGUUUAAUUUAUGCAUGAAAGCUACGGGUUUCAUGUGGUAUGUUUUGAAUGAAAACUUCAAGUUUCAAAGGCACUAAAUUUGAAACUACAUGUUCAAUUUAGUUUUAUGAACAAUUAGUUCAUAAUGAGAGGUUCCUGCAAGAAACACAGAAUGCAAUAUACUAACUAAGUGUAGUGGAUUUGAGUUGUCUUCGGGAACUCAAGUGUGAGAGCUUCAUUACUACGAAAGUAUGUGAUGGUUCCAAGUAUAAAAAUAAAUUAUUGAAUCGUUAAUGUCCAAAAGUGAUAUUUUGGAUUCAUUAUCAGAUUAAUGUAUUGCAUGUCAUUUUUAAUUAAUUCAAUAAAUCGGGUCAUACGGGGUCAAUUGUAGAAGCAAAAUAAUAUUAACAUAUGGGUUAAAUUAUUGUAGAAUACUAAAAUAAUAGCAUUGGGUCGAAAAAAAUUACCCCAAAAAUACAAUUGGGCUCGGGUUGGGUGCCUAGAGUAAAAAGGCAUGGCCCAAAAACCUUGGGUGUGGGCUACAAGCCACGAGGGUGGGUGAGAAACCCCCAGUCGAAGCUAGGUUUCAUAUAUGGGCCAAAGGGGGGGCACAGUGCAGGUCCAACAAGGCUGGCAUGUUAGUUGUUGCACGGGGAAGCCCAGCCGCAAGGCUGGCGUCAUGCAGUUGAUGCGAGCCAGGGCAACAAAGCCCAGCAACCAAAAAAAAAUAUUUACAGCGUGCAUAUGGGAGGAUAGCCCAAACAAUUAGGCAGGUUGGAUGGCUGCAGGCCAAAGUUAGUGUGCAGAGGUUCAGGGCUGCAGUCCCUACCGAGGUAAAAUCCAGGCCUAAGCCUAAUGGUUAUUUGCACAAUGAUGGUGCGGUGGUGUGCCGCACCAUGUCCUAAUUCCCUUUUUUUUUCAAAUCCUUUAGGGUUUAGGAAAACCCUAAACAUGCUUCUAAUUUAAUUUUAUGCUUUGACUCACAAAUUCCACAUAACAAUUUAAUUGUGCGAUGCAUGAAACAAAUAUAUGAACAUAUACAAUAUAUAUAUAUCGAAAGGAAAAUAUAAACAUAGAGGGGUUCAUGCAUCAUGGGGAAUGUUUUCAUGCUUCGUGGACGUUUAAAAUAUCUUCUUUUAUUUUAAGCGUACCUGAUUAGCAAAAAAUGAAUAAGCCUUUGAAUUUGGUGGAUGAUAGCCUCCUCCAACGAUGCGUCAAUUUCUUAGCUUCUGGCAAGAGCGUGCUGAUAACGUGUUGUAGGCCUAUUUAAUUGAGCGAUCUAGGAUUAAAGAGAGAGAAGAGUGCGGCAAGCUUUAGGGAGAAGAGAUAUUGAUUUAAUUGUAAGGUGUGUUUGAUUCACCCCAUUGUGCCUUUAUUUAUAGUAGUAGGAAGGGUAAAACAUUUCCCUUUAGGAUUACAACAUUUAACAGGUAAUCUAAUCCUAAAAGGAAUAUAAGAUACAUUCCCAGAUUCCCUAGGAUUUACACAAUCACAUUCCUAUUCUAAAUAUGACUACAACAAUCCCGAUAUAUGAAAUUUUUUUGUUAUCACUACAUGAAACUCAACCACGGUCCACGUACACUCCGAUGAGAUGGUAACCUAACAUGUUCGAUCAUUUAGAGCCUUGAGUGUUUGAUAUGGAAUAUAUAGGUUAUAUAAUGAUUCUGGGCCAAGGUUAUAAAAGACGCUAGGUGCUAGUUAGGCGGUGGGUUUGGGCCUAGAGUCCUACUUAAUUGCAUUGAGAUACAUAAAUUGCAAAACAAAAUGACAUAUAAAUUAAAAUAUUAUAACAUAUUGAAGAUAUAGAGAACAAGCAUAUAAUGAGUGUUCAUCCAAGUAUUAACAAGUCUCUUAUAAUUUAAUAAACAAACAUAAAAUCCAAAAAUUAAAGUCAUCAAUUUUCUGUCUAAAUAAAAGUUGAGACUUAGGGGUGCCUAGACGGGCCAGGCGGAUGCCUAAAGAGGUCUAGACGCCAUUUCUUAAUUUUCAAAUGCCUAUGAAUUAUUCGGGACGGUGGCUAGCCGCUUAGCACCUAAACGGGGCCUAGGCGGUGCAAAGCGGGAGUUUUAGAACAAUGCUCUGGGGAGAUUCAGAGAGCAUGUGAGUAGUGUGAAAUCCCAUCCCCGGAUUUCACUGUUUUAAAUUACUUAUUUCAUAUUUUUCAUUCUUAUUCAUAGUUUCAACGCAUUUGUAUUUGUGGCAUACAAAUUUUUCGAUAAGUAAAAUGAUAAAAACACCCUUAAUGAACUAAACGGAAUUUUUACAGACGUAUUUGAAUCUUUCAAGAUUUUCUAGAUUUCUUUACAUAUUUGGAUAGUCCGUGUCAAUACGAAUGCGUGAGCUCAAACAUAUUGUAAUUUGGAGUUAUAACGAAAGAGUUAUUAAUGAAUGAAGUUAAGGGCAAAAUGGUCAUUUGACCAUAAAUCUAGAAGGCUCCAGAUUUUGUUGGAGCAAAGUGAUGGAGCCACGUGUGUGGCUGUGAUGGAAAUAAGAGAAGAGAAAUUAUGUAUGGAACUGCCCAAUCAAGAAGUAGAGAAAUGAGAGAAAUGAGAAUAGGGAAGAACACCGAAUCCUUAACCCGCUUUUAACCCGCACGACCCGGUGCCCAACCCGGACAACCUGGGUGAUUUUUGACUCUGAUUCCGGUAUUUUCCUGGCAAAUUGAUCAUCGCCACCACCUGCACUCUACUCCACGACCUUCCCUCUACCAAUUCCACCCCAAACCCAAAGAGAUUUUGCCACAUUUGGUGGUGCAUAGAACCCUUCGUCGGCGAUCCACCGUUUCUGAAAUGUUGUUUAUCAACCACCACCACCCUCAGGUGUCUCUUGAGCCCAAAGAAAAAACCCCAAACAAGUUUAGGGGUGGCAGAGCUUUGAAUUCAACGGAUCGAGGUUCACCCCUUUUUGGGGUUUCCUACGGUUCUAGGGAUUUUCCUGCUACUUCCCGGCCAAACUGGACUUCAUCCCAGGUAUGAAAAAUGUUUCCCUCAUCGAGUUGUACAUUUCUGCAAAUUUUGGUGAAUUUUAGAGUCGGUCAGAAUUUGUGGUUUCCGUUCGCCGAAAAUCGCCACCCAUGAUGACGCGUACGGUGGCGCGUGGCUAGUGGGUUGACACUGCCUUUUUAAGUUAAAUUUGGAUUGUCACCCAACUUUAAUACAUUAUAGUAUGUAAUAUUUAAGGACAUUACAAACUGACAGAUUGGGAAUCUGACAUACGGAUUUUCCCGAAUUGGAUUUCUAAGUUUGUAAAAUCAAACGUUGACGGCCACUUAAUCUUAGCAAUUGGCGGAGAUCCAACCGAUGGAUCGUAAUGAAAUUUUAGUACGUUGUUCUAGAAGAGUAGUGAGACUCUUGGGAAGUUGCAAAUCAAAAAUUUGAUAGGCAAAUGUUCCGUUUAGAUUUCUAGGGUUAUAAACCCUACUCUCGACCUUGAUCGACAGUUGGCUUUUUAGUCAACUAGCCCGAGUUCUUCUAGCGUGUUGCUGAUCUUAGAGUGUUGUUGAGAUUCCAUAGAGCUUAUUGGUCUCAGCAUGAUGACGUGUCUUCCUCGAUUAAUGUGCACCUCGAUUUAUGUAUUGAUGGUAUCACAUUAUGUUAUGCUUGUUUAUUUUAUGUGAUUUGAUGUGUGUAUUGAACUUGUUGUGGAGUGUGGUUGAUUCGAGAACCCAUUGUCAUGGGGUUUGUUGCUUCAAGACUUGUUUCACAUAUCGUAUCAUUAUUUCUCAUUUCGUUAAGCCAUUCUAAUUGUGUACCUUGUGCUUUGUUCCAUUUCUUGUUUCGUUGAGCUUUUGUAUUUUGAGUACUUGUUCAUGCCUUGUUCUUCGAGCAUCGUUAUAUUCCUUGGACUUCCUCUCGAUUCCAUUGGAUGAUCCAGAAUUGGGUUUCCACUGGGGUUUCGUUGAGUGGUCUAGUUCCCUACUCCGUCUGGAUUCCAUUGAGUGGUCUGGAAUCCCUCGUGAUCCGUGAUUCCGUUGAGUGGUCUGGAAUCGUAUCCAGCUUGAAUUUCAUUGAGUGGUUUGAUAUGCAUUUGUACUCCGCGAUUCCUUUGAGUGGUCUGGAAUUGUAUCCACUCAGAUUCCGUUGAGAGGUCUGGAAUCCCUUCUACUUCGCGAUUCCGUUGAGUGGUCCGGAAUUCCCUUUGGUGUCUUGGUUCCGUUGAGUGGUCUGAAUGUUGAGGGAUUUCGUUGAAUGGUCCGAAAUCACAUCAUUUGACUUGUUGGUUUCUUGAAUUUGAUCAAUUUCAGAGAUGUAGGCUUCGGCCGAACUGUGUCGCUCUAGCCCUGCAUUUUGGUGUAUGGUAUGUGUUAUUGAUUGAUGUGAUUGUGGAAUGAUGUUGGUUGUGAUUGUUGUCAUUAUGAUUAAACUCAUUGACCAAUAUGUACAGGUGGUUCGGUAUGGGAUACCAUACUGAAACUAGUAUCCCGAAUCCCAAAUCAAAAUUUUUCGGGACAGGAAUUUAAAAACCAAUCCCAAACCAAAUUUUCGGAAAUCUCGAAAUAUUUUCUGGAUUUCGGGACAAAUCAGGAAUCCCAAAUUGAAAUAUGAAAUUAUGAAUUGUUGUUCAAAUAUAUAAUUUAAGAACACAUUCAUGAACUAGGAAUGUCAUUUCAUUCACACUACCAUUUAAUCUAAAACUGGCAUGUCUGACUGUUUUUAUCAAAGUCAAAAUUAAAAUUAAUUAAACCAUUUUUGCAAGCCUUCUAAAAUCAUCAGCCAUGGUAGCAGCAAUAAUAAAAUCCAAAUGAAUAUCAAACAGAACAUGAAAAAUAUGCAAGAUGUAGGGCAUUCCAGGUUGUGGAGCAUGAAUUAGAAACUACUAGCAUCAAUUAUAAAAGAAUAAUAUAUAUAAUAUAUAUGUAUAAAUAUAUAUAUAUAUAAUAAUUAAGAUUAUAUAUUUUCGAUUCGGUAUGGGAUUCCCGAAAUAUCGAGAAGCCAAUCCCGAAUCCUGUACCGAAAUUUCGGGAUCGGUUCGAGAUAGCAUCUCUAAAAUUUUGAGAAUUUUGGAUUGGGAAAUUUUUUGUUGGGAUCGGGAUUUUUUUGGUUCGGUUCGGGAUUUUCGGGAAUUUUUUCCACCCCUACCAAUAUGGCUAGAGAUUUAUGUUGCGCUUCAUCGAAUGUUCCUCGUGAUGUUGCAUGCCUGUUGUGUGCAGUGGCGAAGCCAGGAAUUGCCGAUGGGAUGGGCGAACUUAAAAAGUGCAAAGUUAAAAAAAAAAAGGGCAACAACCAAAUUACAAUUGUUGCUGACGAGGUUUCAUGUCAUGAAAACGUGCAUAAUAGAUUAUUGUCAAUAAAAGCAAAUACAUGUAUCUCAAUGUAAACAAUCAUAUUAUCAUUUAACCCUUGAUCCCGACCGUAAUAAAACAUCGAUUGUUGCUAGCUUUUCUUGGCAAUGAUGUGGUCUUUACGUUGACAAUAAUCAUUUUGAAAAGUGUCUAUGAAUUGCUUUGCGAUCAAUAAUCAUAGAAUUCAUAUCAAUAAUCAAUAACCAUAUUAAUGUAUUAUCAUAUGAUUCUAUACUAAUUAAAGAAAAAAUUGUAUUGAAUAAUUAAUUAGGGUUUGAAAUAAUAUAUAAAUUUAGAAAAUAAAAAAUUUACAUAAAAUUGGGAAGGAUGGCGUGACGGGUGGUGAUUGAAAUGGAAGCUAGGAAUUGCGGGAUUUGUUGUGUUUGUUAAAGUGUGAGUGAGAGAUGGGAAAUUGAAAGGGGUGAUGGCUAAUGGGAACCAGGGGUCCACAUAAUAUUUUAUUAUUGUUUUUUAAUGAAGCUGUAAAACUGUGUCGUUUUAGUUAAUAAUUUAUUUUUAUAUAAAAGCAAAUCCUUCAGCAAGCAGGGGCGUUGCACAAGAACAAACGCCAGAAAGCCACCAUACUUUCCAGUUUCCGACCGAACCAAAGAGGCGCUCCCAGGCUUGUUUUCCGGCGAGCGGAGGGGCGACGGCCACCCCUCGCCCCUAUGUAGCUUCGCCACUGGUUGUGUGGUAUUAUGUUGAGACAUAGUGAUUUAUGUGAUGAUUGUUCGAGUGUAGUGAAGGACAAACUACAAAUGGCUUGAUCUCUGUUUAUGGUACGUAGGCAAUCUAACGAUGAGUUUAGAUGCAGCCAUAAAGUAUACGAAAAUUACUACGCAAUUCGAAUCUUGAGUUAUGCUUUGUACAUAUCCCGGAGGCGGGGUAUGUUAAAUAUACGGGUAUUUGGUAAUGUAACGUGUCAAUACAGGAUGUAUGUCGGAAUCGGGGAGUGACAAGUAGAGAGCUUUUGGGAUCAUCUAGAUGUUGUAUUCAGUCCCAAGCCUAUGAAAGUUUAUCUUAUAUUGCCGUCCCCAAGCCCGAAUAAAGAAGGAUGUGGACUGUGUCAAUUAAUCAACAGCCAUAACUCAUUUUUCACGUCGAACUCUUAUGAUCUAGAUGUUAUAGUCUGAUCAUAUUAUUUCCAAAAGUUAUGGGAUUGACUGAUGAUUCCUCCAUUCUAUCUUGAACAACUCUGAUGAAAUUUCUUUCUUUUUUAUUUUGGCCGAUAUUUUAAUUUGAAUUUUAAUUUUUUCAUUAGGAUACUUCAGCCUUUCACUAUCAAGUAUGACUACUAUACCAGAUGAUGCAGAAACAACAUGAAUUAGACAAUAAAAUAAGAAAAUCUUGAAAAUACUUUUAUCUGUAAUAAUACUUUUACGGCCCUCCUAAAAAGAAGAAAUCUGCAGUGAAACCAGUGGUUAUAGGCAUAGAAGAAAAUAUCGAUAAUAUCGGCGAAAUAACAUGCACAUAAAGGGAUUCGAACACCUCCCAUCUAAUUCCUUCAGCGCCUUGACCACUAUACCACAUAUGUUUUUGUGAAAACAUGCUAAACUAUUUAUAUAUAUGGUUUUGUUUUGAAUUCUUUUUGCACGAAACAAAUUUGCACAUAUUCCAAAUUUUUUGUGGUAUUAUAUUUUAAAUUGUGUUAAUUAAUUACUUAGUCAAUGGCAUGUGGUUUUUAAUUUUUCUAUUUUUUAUUUGGUCACUUACAUGUAUGGUUGGAAAAAAUUCCCGAAAAUCCCAAACCAAACCGAAAAAGUCCCAAACCAAAACCAUCCCGAAGUUUGGGAAUCCCAUCCCGAAAAAUACCGAAAUUUUCGAUAUGGGAUUGGUUUCCAAAUCCCAUUUGUUUGGUAAUCCCGAAAUACCGAAGUAUUCGGUUUCCUAUUGACGUUUGGGUUUCGGUUCUUGAAAGCUAUUGCCAUGGUUGCUGACUACUCUUCACAAUACACUUACUCUACACAUAGAGAUGAUGAAGAUAGUGAAAAUUUUGAACCUCAUAGGAACUCUAUAUGGUACUUAGUCACUCAUGUAUCUUACCAUGCAAUGUAUAAAGUGUAAAAUAUUGUACUAAUUCAUUAUAUAUAAAUGAUUAUGGUGUGUUUAAACUUCUUUCAUUAAUUACUACAUAUUUUCUACACUCACAAUGUUUGCCAGCUCGCUAUAUAAUCAACUUAAAUCAGUUAAAUCCAUCAUGCAAUGCAUUUCCUUCCAAUUUUUUGUGAUAAACUAAUAGAUAAUUGACUAAAUAAACAUCCUGCAAAGUUUCAAUAAAAAUUUCCAAGUUUUUCUUACAAUUUCCGUGGUUUCCAUGUAAUUUUUAUCGAUAUCGAUAUUAUCCCGAUAUUUCCAUCGAUAUUUCCGUGUUUUCGGACUACCGAUAUUUCCGAUAUUACCGAUAUUUUCUUCCUUGGUUAUAGGUACACCUCUGUCCACUCAGUUGGCCUGGAACAACUUUCAGUGGAUUCAAAAUGAAAAAAAUUUGAACGGUUCACUAAAAUUCUCAAGUGGUUAGCUAAAGAAUUGGGUACUUUUUUUUGUAACAUGUAUUGAUUUAUGUAGAUAUUGGUGCAAGCUUGGGGGUAUUACUUCUUCUUGCUGCUCUAUGGUGGUUAUACAAGGUAGUGAAGAAAAUAAAUAACAUUAAUUGCCGAGAGAAGUUCUUCAAACAAAACGGUGGCUUAUUGCUCGAAGAACAAUUGAGUUCCGGUGAAGUCAAUGUUGAAAAAAUAAAAUUAUUUGAUGCAAUUGAGCUAGAGAAGGCCACAGAUCAUUUUAAUGUGAACAAAAUACUUGGCCAGGGACGCCAAGGUACCGUUUACAAAGGUGUUGACAGAUGAAAAAAUUGUUGCAGUAAAAAAGUCCAAGGUGGUUGAUGAAGGGAAACUUAGGCCUUUCAUUAACGAGAUUGUCAUUCUUUCACAGCUUAACCACAGGAAUGUGGAUAAGUUAUUCGGGUGUGGUUUGAGGACAAAGGUUCCUCUACUGGUGUAUGAAUUUGUUCCAAUCUGUAACCUUUUCGAGUAUAUCCACAAAGAUAAUGAAGAGUUUCCGCUUACGUGGGAUAUUUUCUACCUGCAUUCAUCAGCUUCCAUUCCCAUUUAUCAUCGCUAUACUAAGUCCACAAACAUACUUUUAGACGACAAGUAUAGAGCAAAAGUAGCUGAUUUUGGAACUUCGAGAUUUUUCCAUUGAUCAAACUCAUGUGACCACACAAGUACAAGGCACUUUCCGAUACUUGGAUCCAGAGUACUUCCAAUCAAGCCAGUUCACAGAAAAGUCCGAUGUUUAUAGCUUCGGAGUUGUCCUAGUUGAGCUCCUGACUAGUAAAAAGCCGAUUUCAUACAAGAUCGGAAGAAGGGAGAAGUCUGGCCACAUACUCCAUUCUUAAAAUUGAAGAAAACCGUCUGUUUGAGUUGAUGUUCAAGUUACGAAGGAGGGAAAUAAAGGACAGGUUGAGGCAAUUGCUUGCCUUGCAAGAAGAUGCUUGGACUUGAAUGGAAAGAGACGCCCCACGAUGAAUGAAGUUGCAAUGGAGCUGGCGGAGAUUCAAAAUCCAGUUGAUCGUUCUAGUGUGCAGCAAAAUUAUGAAGAGGUUGAAUAUGUUGGAAAGGAAGUGACUGGUCCUUGGGAUGAUGUUUCUGCAUCAACAGGAUCAGCUGUCGACAAUAUAUAGUGCUGCUUCAUCAACUGAUGUGCUUCCACUAUUAUCAUCGAAUAACGAUGAACAUGGGCAGCUUUUGAAUUACGUCCAAAGUGUCUGUCGUUCAGAAGUGCUUGCUAAAAGUCCGGAACCUACUUUGGCCCAAAGCUAAAGGACCACCAAUCUGUUUUGAUUGAGAAACCUGGUCCACCCUAGCUUUUAGCAUUUGUGGAAAGCGAGAUGACUUUCACAAAUCCUUUUUAGCCUCUUUCUUAUAUUUGUACGUUAAUUCUGUUUGACUUGGUGAAUUUGGUGGUCAGAAUUAAGAGUAAAUUGUAAUAAUGUUCCAUUUACUUUAAUUAAAUUAGAGCAAUGGUGCCUCAACUAAAAAUUCAUUAACAUUGGUCCCUCAACUUAUCAAAAUGUGUAGCUAUAGUCAUUUUCAUCAAUUUCGUUAAAAUUUUGUCAAAAUAAGUUAUGUUGGAAUAACCAUUUAUAUAAUUAGGGUCCCUCAACUCAUCAAGGUGUGUAAUUAUGGUCCUUUUUGUCAACUAUAUCAAAAAUUUUGUCAAAACGAGUUAUGUUAGAGGGACCAUUGCUACAAUUAGGUUAAAGUUAAGAGACAAUUUCUCUAGUUGAAUUAAAAUUGAGGGGCCAAUGGUAAUGGAUUUUUCGUUGAGGGAUCAUUGCUCCAAUUAAGUUAAAGUUAAGGGACCAUAACUACAAUUUAUUCUAGAAAUAAAGAGGGAUAUGUGAGUUCCUUGUAUGAAAAUCAGUUUCCUUGUGAAUGCCCACAAUUUUUCUCAUCAAGCAAAUUCUUUUAAUUUUUUUCUGUAUUUGUUUAAACUCUAAAGAUGAUGUUUUGUACCUGUUUUUAAUUUUUUUCUGUAUUUGUUUAUUUUUCUGUGGCUGUCCUGCUUAUUUUAUAUCUGUUUCUAUUGAACAAUCUUUGAUUAAUCAGAAUGAAAAUUUUGAAGCCAUUUUAUAAAUGAGGUUUCUUAUACAUAUUUUCCUAAUUUUAUAUUGGAGGCAGAUUUGUUACAGUACUUUUUUACACAAAAUUUGACACACAUUUUGUAGGAUCCACUUCGUAAUGUAUUUCAAUAAUCCAAACCGUUUAUAUUUUAGAACAUCAUUCAUGGAUCAUCCUUGCAAAAAAUUAGACAUCCGAAGCUAUCUCUACAAAAAAUUAGACAUCCGAAGCUAUUAAGACAUUCAUUUGUAGUGAAGAAAAGUGACGAAUACAAUUUUACAAAGAAACACUAAAUUUAAUCCAACAAUCAUAUAAUUUCAGGUCUGGUUGAUUUUGAGUGCACAUGAUAUUUGAAGGAAGACUUAAAAGAUACGGCCUGCAUCAUUGAAAUAUAUUACAGAGUAGAUCAUACAAAAACUUGUGUAAAAAAUUAUGUUAAAAAAGUGAUAUCACGUAUCUGCCCUUUGUGUGUGUGUGUGUGUAAGCAUGAUGUUGGAUUUGUAAAACCCAUUCAAUUUGUAGUUAUAAAUGGAAAAGAAAAGAACAUGGAGGUCCUUCCAAAAACUAGUUGGAUUUGCAAAACCCAUUCAAUUUAAGAAUGGCUUGUGAGACCAUAAUUCAAAUAUAAUUUCUACAAAAAUGCUACGGUCAACAUGGCAUCUAAGAUUUCAAUGUACACAAGAGCUGUGAAGUGAAGGUGUAGUUACGGCCCCCUUUAAACCCCUGAUCACAACUACUAAUUGCCAAACCCUACCUAAUCAGAAAGAAAACGCAGUUAAAAAAAUUGGGUGCUGACCUUACCAUGUACACGUGCUUACUUAACCCACCUUUGGAUAGAAGCAUCUUCACUCCUUUCCUCCAAAAGUUCAUUGUCCAUCGAGCUGCAACACAAAUUCAAUGCAGUUUUCAAAAUAAAUGGAUUUGACUUUAGUAACCCCUUUACAAAGUCAUAUAGUGAAUUGCCCUGUUUCGCAAUAGCUGGAUUGUUUUAGUGGUUGUGUUUUUUCCUUCAAUUUACUGCGAUCUGAUUUUAAAUUAUCCUCGUUUCUUUUAAUGUAGAUAUUUUAAUAUAAAUAAAUAAAAACCUUGGUUCCAAAUAUAACAUUUUUUUUACCAAAAAUACCUUGUUUUAUCGUCAAUAUUGUAUCAAUUUACUAUUAACUCAAUAUCAUAUAUCAAUAUUGUAUUUAUAUACUUCCAGUAUUAGCGAUAAAGUGCAUAUUAGUGCUCGAAAACAAGGCUAAUUUAAAAUUUUAGUUGGUGGUUUUGUAAACUAAAGCCAAUUUCCCACCAAAAAAAAACUUUAAAAAAUUGAAAAAAAAAUACAAGAAAAUUGAAAUGUCCAGUAACCUAAGGACACUUGUGUUUAUUGAACGCUGCCUUCGAAUGUGAAUAUUUGGCUUAGUUUAAUCCAAAAAAUCAAAUAUUUUUAACUUAGGUUUAUGCAUGGUUUGGUGUAACUAAUUGACAAAAAUUAGGUAACUUAUUCGCAACUAAACUUCUCUUGCUAAGAAAACACAUGUAUAAACUGGUAGGCACCAAACAAACAUAUUGAACGGUAGUUCUACCCCAGUUUCUCCUCUCUCCCUUCUAUUUUUCUACAAAAUGUGACAGGACAUAAAUAUACAUAUUCCCACUACUCCUCCCAGGUAAAACACACACUCUCUCUCUCACUGUGUCAUAGCAAGUAGUGGUGGCUCAGCCGUCUGAGGUUACCAUGGGAUCGCAGGAGGAGUACCAACCGCUACUCAUCCGGCUUGAUUCAUACUCCCAGAUACCUAACUUGUCGUCCAGUGCCAUUGAAGAGUUUCUGGAGCACAAGCCCGUGGCGGUUCGAUGGUGGCCUAAACUGGUGGCUUGGGAGUCGAGGCUCCUCUGGAUUUUAUCCGGUUCAUCUAUCGCUGUCUCCAUAUUCAACUACAUGCUCAGCUUUGUGACUCUCAUGUUUUGUGGGCACCUGGGUGCCUUGGAGCUUGCUGGGGCCUCUAUAGCUAGCGUUGGAAUUCAGGGUCUCGCUUAUGGUAUCAUGGUAAGUCCUCUAGUUUAAUGUACUUUAUAAAUAAGGAUAUUAGCACACUCCAGCAUCUAAUAAUCCUGAAAAUGCACUAUGGUAACUAUUAUGUUGCGCAGAUAAUAGUUCUCUGAUUAAUUUAUAUAGCAAAAUUUCAUCAUGUUUUUUCAUACGCUUCAGUAUAGUAUUUGUGUUUUCCCUUCGCGCAUGAAAAACACACAAAGUAUUCGAUUAGGAGAUAUGACAGAAUUUCAUCUCCCUAUUUUUCUUGUGUGGUUGGAUUAACACUUUUUGUGUUCUUAAUUCUUGGUUUGGAAUCACAGUUGGGAAUGGCAAGUGCUGUCCAAACAGUGUGUGGGCAAGCAUAUGGAGCCAAACAACUGCCAGCAAUGGGAAUCAUAUGCCAAAGGGCAAUCAUCCUGCAUUUGGGAGCAGCAGUACUACUCACAUUUGUGUACUGGUGGUCAGGACCAAUCCUCAUAGCCAUCGGCCAAACAGAAGACAUAGCAGAGCAAGGCCAAGUAUUUGCCAGAGGAAUAAUCCCACAGCUCUAUGCAUUUGCCAUAAACUGCCCCCAGCAGAGGUUUCUCCAAGCCCAGAACAUUGUAAACCCUCUAGCUUACAUGUCGUUCGGGGUCUUCCUCGUCCACAUUCUGCUCACUUGGGUGGUCGUUUAUGUGGUGGACUAUGGGCUGAUGGGGGCGGCUCUGACACUCAGCCUCUCUUGGUGGCUUCUUGUCAUCACAUAUGGAAUUUACAUUCUUGUCAGCCCGAUGUGUAAGGAGACUUGGACUGGCUUCUCAUGGAAGGCUUUUAGGGGCAUUUGGCCUUACUUUAAGUUGACUCUUGCCUCCGCUAUCAUGCUUUGGUAAGUAUAAGAUUUUGAGAAAUAUGCAAAAAUAGAACCGCUUACACAUUUUUUCCACUUUUCACUUUACCAUUCACUUAAAAUAUUUUUUGCUUGCAAUUAACUGUUGGGUUUUAUGGUAGUUUGGAGAUAUGGUACAACCAAGGACUAGUGCUGAUAUCAGGGCUUCUCUCCAAUCCUACAAUCUCUCUAGACUCCAUUUCUAUUUGGUACACCUUUUGUUAAAGCAAUCCAUUUUUUAACCUUUUUACUUUUACCCUUCAACUUGAUAAUUUUUGUAACUGCUAUUUAACUCUACAUUUUCUCAUGUGAUACAAUUCCAGCAUGAACUACUUGAACUGGGACAUGCAAUUUAUGUUAGGCCUAUCCGCGGCGGCCAGUGUUCGUGUUAGUAAUGAGCUCGGUGCCGGUCACCCGAAGGUGGCCAAGUUUUCAGUGUUUGUCGUGAACGGGACGAGCAUAUUGAUUAGCAUAGUCUUCAGUGCGAUUAUAUUGAUAUUCCGAGUUGGAUUGAGCAAGCUUUUUACAAGCGACGCUGAAGUUAUCGCGGCAGUAUCUGAUUUAACCUCAUUGCUCGCCAUCUCUGUUUUCUUGAAUGGCAUUCAACCUAUACUCUCAGGUAUUGAAAAAUGAUGGAAGCCGUAGAGAAACAAACUAAGUUUGCAGGCACCAUCAGCAUCAUUUCUAAUUCAUGUUGUGUGGAAUUUUAGGUGUGGCAAUCGGAAGCGGAUGGCAAGCUGUUGUGGCGUAUGUUAACCUGACUUGUUACUAUAUUAUCGGUCUUCCGAUUGGAUGUGUUCUAGGCUUCAAAACUAGCAUGGGAGUUGCAGUAAGUUGAAUCUCAUCUCACUUUUGCCGGUAAAGUGAUUGCUUUGCUUUGUGAGUGAUGGAAAAUUAUGAACUUUUGGUAUUUUUCAGGGUAUUUGGUGGGGAAUGAUCAUUGGAGUUUUUCUACAAACAGUAACUUUAAUUGUUCUCACUGCAAGAACAAACUGGAAUUCUGAGGUAAUUUAAAUUUUAAAUUUCAAAUUUUGUGGGAAAUAUAAUUAUUAAAUGAAUAUAUAUAGACAUGAACUGCAUUUGACCAAAACUUCUCACCAUUGAUCAUGCUUUUGUAGGUUGUAAAAGCAGCUGAACGAUUGAAGAAAUCUGCAAGUGCUGAAAGAUUAGACUUGUUGACCGAUAUAUAAGGCUGCCGUGAAGGUUUCUGAACUUCAUUUCACCUGCGAUUCCUGUUCAAAAUCCUUUGAUUCGACAGUGCAUUACGGUUCAACGAGAACUAGCAUAGAUGUUUGUUACGUUUCUUUCUUACCCUGCACACUACUAAGCAGAUUAUUACCAAUUUUGAUGAUUUAAGGGAAAGAAAAAAGUCCUACUUGUUUGGAGCAGUAAAAAUUUCUACCAGGCAUAAUUUCAGUAGAAGCUGCACUACUCGAAUCACAUUGUGCUUGUAGUUAAACUGCUACAACAUCAAACGGUUCCAUUCUGUUCUCCAUCCGUCUCACCCCGAAUGGUAAAACGAAGGGUGGCCAGAAUGCUGAGCCAAUACAGUUCACAAGCGGCAAAACGUACUGGCUUAAGCUGGUGAUCAUCGUCAAGAUUGUUUGAUUUGGUUUGAUACCAGAUGCCUGCAUUUCCUCAUAUUUCUCCAUCAUCUUCUCGAUAUUGUUUGUCUUAGCCUUUGAUCCAUGUCAGAUGCAUUUACAUAUGCGGAUAGCAUAGUCGCAUAGGAGCAACGAUCAGGGUUAAACCUGAAGCAAAAACAAACAAAAACAGGGCUAUUUCUACCCUCCUACAAAAGCAUGUCUUUAAUUAUCUGUCGAAGGAGCACACUGUUUUUGCCUUGCGAUACUCGCAUUACGACAGACAACCACCUAAUGAAUUAUGGUUCUAUCAUGUUGGAAAAUUUCAAAAACAAAAGAGGAAAACGAAAAAAUCCGACCAAUCGGCGAUAUCGAGCGACCGAUAGAUGAAGGCAGAAUAUCGUGAUUAGAACUUCUAGCAUGGGCAACCAGUCGAUCGGCUGGGCCAAAAGCACGAGUAGCACUCUUUGCCGUGGUCAUACCGGUCGCUCGACUUCGCACGAGUGCCCAGUUCUUUUCUAUUCGCAUCUAAGCAUUGGUAUUCCGUAUAUAAAAAGAAAUUGGCCAACGGACUAGUUUAAAAUUUAAAGGACAACUUUUGAAAAAAUAACAAGAGGCGCCAUCAAUUGGAAUGUGCCUCAUUAAUCUAAUGAGGCGCCUAGUGAAAUUGUUGUCCAUACGUCCUUAUUUUAUUGGCACGUGACGCCACGUGACAAUACAUUUGUGCUACGUAAUUUCAACACUGGUAUGGCUAUCCGACCGGUCACAAUCAAUUUCAAUUUAUAAUGGAACACUGCCUUCGAAUGCGGAUACUUGACUAUAUUUGACUUGGGUUUAUGGAUGGUUUAGUGUAAUUAUGAAAAAAAAACAGGUUGCUGCAGCUAAACUUCUCUUGCUAAUGUCACGCGUUUAUACACUGGUGGUCACCUAACAUUUUUUAAUGGUGGUUAUACCUUACAGUUUUCCUCUUUCAAGACCAUCAAAUAGUGGUGGCUCAGCUGGUGGCUCAGCCGGCUGAGCCACCACGGUCAGCGAGAAUUAGACAUUUUGAUUAGAAGCUAAUCAGAUUGUUACAAAGUUUGAUGAUUUAAAGGAAAGAAGAGAAUCCUACUUGCUUCGCAGAAUGGAGUAGUAAAAAUUUGUACCAGACAUUUUGUGUAGAAGCUGCAAUACUUGAAUCACAAAAAUUGUGCUUGUGGUUAUACACAUUAAUUAGGCUGCUACAAGAUCGAACGGUUACAUUUUGUUCUCCGUCCAUCUCAAAGAGCAAAAUGAUCAAGGGUGGCCGGAAUACAGAGCCAAUAUAGUUCACAGGCGGCAAAAUGUACUCGCUUUAGCUGGUCUGAAACGAUACCGCUCCCACGUAGUAAUUCUUAACUUAUAUUCUCGACCAACCAUCAAGCCUGAGUAACGUGACUAUAUCACAAAUUAGGAUAUCCCAACUUUACAAAUCUGCAACUGCAAGUAAGCCCUCAAGGUUUUUCUCGUUAACACCGUUGAGAUAAACCAGUUCAUGUUUUUGCUCAGCAUUUGAUGAAGUGACCAGUGAAGGACCAUCUAAUUCAUCAUCAUACUUUUCAUCCUCAUCCUCAUCCUCAUCCUCGUCCUCAUCCUCACUAUCAUUCUCAUCGGUAGGCACCGGAUACUUACCAGAUCCUUGUUCAUUGCUACUCUGAUCCAGAUUUCCUACAAGUUGGUUAGCCACCUUCUGUUCCUCUGCUGUUUUUGCCAAAGACAAAAGGAUAUUCUUUGCUUUCUGAUCAGGCGGAAGCCUACAGGAUUCCAUUUCCUGGUACCAAACAACAGCACUGCCAAAAUCUCUGUUUUUUCCAUAUGCAUCCAUGAUUGUUGUCAAGAUUGUUUGAUUUGGUUUGAUACCAGAUGCCUGCAUUUCCUCAUAUUUCUCCAUCAUCUUCUCGAUAUUACUUGUCUUAGCAUACCCUUUGAUUAAUGUCCCAUAAGUGACGACAUUGGGUUUAAAUGCAUCUUGUUUUAUUCUUAUGAAGAAUUUCUCAGCACCCUCCAUGUCAGAUGCAUUUACAUAUGCUGACAGCAUCGUCGUAUAAGAGCACAGAUCAGGAUUAAACCUGAAGCAAAAACAGACAAAAAAAGAGGGAUCACUAUCCAGAUCAUAGAGUGUAAACUUUUAGGGAUAGGGCUAUUUCUGCACUCCUACAAAAGCAUGCCUUUGAUUAUCUGUCGAUAGACCACACUGUUGUUUUAGACAUACGAUACUUGACAUUAUGACUGAAAACAGCUUAAUAAAUUUGUGGUUCUAACAAACAGAUAGUAGAACCAUUAGGUGCAUUCAAUUACACAGGUAUUUCACUCCAGCAAAUAUGUGUGAAGAUAAUAGGUGAAGGGAGAGAAGUAAUGAAAGGACUGAUGGAUGCCAAUUGAAUCCAAUGGUAAGGAAUGGACUGAUGGGUGCCAAUUGAAUCCAAUCUAAUGUUGACUGGUUUGUAGAAUUCACAAUCUGAUCUAAUAAUGAUCAGUUUGUGGAAAUGCGAGUCAGUUGUUAUGCAUGCUCGGAUACAUAAACAGAACAAAUUCACCAUAAAACAAAAUUUUAAGCAAACGGGAUGGACACAGGCAACACGUCAUAUAUACAUGAAAAAUCCUGCUUGCAAAUGAUAUUUAAAUAUCUUAUCAAGUAUGAAAUACUGACAUCAUCCAAGUUCCCCUGUUAACACGUAAACAUCAGUUAACUAUAACUUCCAAGUCCCAGACUUCUAGGUCCUAGAAUCUAGGAUAUGUGAACCUAACAACUAACAGGUCUAACCUAAUAUGUCAACGUAACCACUUAUUUGUAAAUUCAUUCUGCUCAUGAUAGAGCUAGACAAGAAAGAGACACUACGUAAAUAUUUUAUAGUUGAAACCUUUUCGUAUACAGUUUUGGUUAUUAGGUACUAUCCCACAAAGAGUGUGCUAGGUAUUCAUUUAUAGCAACUAAUUAGCACAACAACAAUCCUUUGGGAACCAAAACAAGAAUAUAAGGUUUAGCAAGUGCAACUCAUCUUCAACUAUAGCAUAAUCAACAUAAAGGUACUGAGAAAUAUACCUGUCCCUUCUCAUGCUUUUAAAAACUGUUCGAGCUUGGUCCACCAUUCCUGAUACUGCAAAUGCGUCAAGCAAAAUGUUAUAAGCUUUGCGGGUUGGUCUGCAAAAGAAAGAGAAUGGUGGCGAUUAUAGGUUUCAUCAAUGGUGAGGAAUCAAUGUCAAAAGUUGAAAAUCCAUUUUUAAGUUUCAAACACUUCAGCUCCCUGUAUCACAAGAAAUAGUAGCAUUAACCCUGUACCUGACACCAGCAUCAAGCAUCUCCUCAAAAACAGCUAAGGCUUCUUCCUCUCUUCUAGCUUUCCCAUAAGCACUAAUGAGUAAGGCAUAACUCACUACAUCGGGUCGGAGACCAGCUCUUUGCAUCUGCCAUUAGAAGUUUCCUUUAAUUUCUGAUGCAUAUAUUAAGGUCACGGAACUUUAAGUGGGUAGUUUGUACCAAUUUCAACAAAACGAAGUAACGUGAUAAGCAUGAGAAAGGGAAAAAUACAGGACUUUUAAGUCUGCUUUGAUCAAUAAAUUUUGUCAAAUCUCUUUCAGAAUUAUACAGAACAUUGAUAAGUAACUUUUAUGUGUGAUUGGGAACCACGUAACAUUAUUGUUAAAUCUGGGUGAUGAAAAACGCAUCGGUUUUUCAUUAAGGUAACUAUUUUUUUAAAUUAAACAAGAUAUCAUUGCUGCAAGACCGGACAUUUUCUAUUUCGAUCAUAGAUCAACCAAUGAUGCUUAAAAAACAGACUAAGGAAACUAUUUUUCUUUCUUCAAAACAAACCAGGAAAAUAUUGCUGUAACCUUAUUUUAUAAUUCUAAAGCAUACUCUAAUAGGAAGGUUUAGCAUGCUCUACCAAGCUGUAUGACUAAUUAUUAAGAUAUUUUUCCCAAAAUUUACCUGGUUAUACAUCUUGGAGACUUCCUUGUAAUUAUUUUCAAAAGACAUCAAGCUAUUAUAAGUAACCGUCGAUUGUGGAACCCCUCUCUCAGACAUCACUGAGAACAUCUUCCGAGCUUUAUCAUAGCUCCCAGCCUUCUUAUACAUAUAAAUCAUCAUGUGGAACAUCUUUUGGUCUGGCUUUAAAGGUGAUUUUUCCUCAUUUAAAAGAGUCUCAAAUAUUUCUUCAGCUUCCUUGAACUUACAUCCCUGUAUUUCAAGGUACCAUGUGAGGCAGGUAGAAAGACUCCAAUGAAAGCAUGCAUAUUGCUCAAAUGGCAGCUAUAUCAUAAAUAUUGAAGAUGCCAGCAUCAUCAAAAUGUUGUCAGCACUAGGCUGAAAAUUUAGAAUUAAGAUUUAAUCGAUGUUUUUAGGGACACUGACAAGUUUGGCUAAAGAAGGUUAUUACCUCAACAAAUAUCUUUAGUAUUAUUUGAUAUGUCACAGCAGACGGUUCAGGGCCAGAAGACUGCAUCCUUCUAAAUAUUGCUUCAGCAUUGUUAUAUCGGCCUCCUUUUCCAUAUGCUUCCAUAAGAGCAGUAUGAGAUAUUACACUUGGUGGAUAGCCUUUCUCAUUCAUCAAACUUAAAAGCUUCUCAGCCCUCGUGUAGUGCCCUUGCUUUCCAUAAGCUGUUAUAAGCAUCAGGAAAUCCAUUUUGCUGAAGUCCCACCAGUUCUGAGUCUGAAGCCAUUCGAGAAUCUAGAAGACAAAGAACAUAAGCAAACAAGUGAUUUAAUCAUCAAAUAAAAUCAAGUACUUAAAGAAAUACGCUCAGCAACCGAAUAAUUGCACAACAAAAAAGAGCAUCUUUACAUACCUGGCUGACUAGGUUCCAUUUUUUCAGUUGCUUAAAUCUAACCAAAGUUCCAAGGACAACAUCCUUGGGAAUAGUCUUGUCCUUGAGCUUUUCACUUUUGAGCACAGAAACUGCAGAACCUGUCUCCUCAAUUUCAUUCAUAAGUCUCCUCCAGUUCUUCUGCUCGGCUUCAUCAGCAGCAUCUUUGAAAACUUCUACCUUCUUCCUUUUCUGCAAGAAUUUUCUUGGUGCCAGCAUGCCCAUACAAACAACCCCCACUCUUCCACGCACCCUGACAUUGGAACCUAUAGAAUUUGUGCAUUCUUUCAAUCUACUGAAGACACAAAUUCACACAGUUAUUACUGGAUAUCACAAUGAACACAUAAAUCAUCGAAGAGCUCUCGGACUAGUAAGUUCUAUGAAAAACAUGAUCCUCCCCCGUUAAUGGCAAUCAGAAUGUACAAAGUCGAUAUACAUCCACUUGCGCAAAUAAGCCAAAGGCCACAGCGCAAAGAAUAAACUACUUAACACUGCAAUUAGAAAGAUAUAAAAUAAUGUAAAUGUACUCCUACAUCUAUUGUAUAUGCUUGCACUUCUUCGACUUUGAGUAUAAUAGCAACCCAAUUUCACUCAAUGAGUUUAUGACUCCCUACUUUGAUUCCAAAGACAUAAAGAACCAGCAAAUUCACCUUCAACCCAAGAAAUGCAGCAGCGCUAAGACAAAUGCAAUCAUGCAAGACGGGAAAAGUGUAACAGCAACAAAAAACAUACUUUAUAUCAAUCUUUCAGAAUUUUGAAUCAUAAUUGAAACUUUAGUUAACCACAGUUCCCUGUUUGGCUGCCUUCAUAAUUUCAUAGCUAAAGCAUGCAACUUUCUAAGUAAAACAACAACCCAGAACCCCAAAUUCUCCAUGCUAUCCCCCUAAUUACACAAGAAACCAAACAGGACACUAAAAAUUCAAACUACAACCCGAAAAGAAACCCAAAUGCUCAAACGUCAGAUGGGUUUCUGAGGGUUUUGCAGGGGUUUAACAAAAGGGGGUGAAGGAAAAACAAACAAACCUCCAAUUAUCCAAAGGAGCUGAUGAAAUAAAGGGCUUUAAGAAAAGGGUUUGAGGCAUUUCUCCUCUGGAUGUCUCUCAGAAGUAAUUGAACCAAAGCUGAGUGUCAAUGAAGUUGAAGGGGAUUUCUGAAGAAGGUGUGGGAGCAGAAGAUUGUCAUAUUUUUUUGGCAAAAAUCUUAUCUUUUUAGAGCGGGACUGACUGGUAAUACUGAGAAAACCUGAAAGUUGUGGACAUACACUCACAAACAAUUUUAGGCCUCGGACCUCAAGGCUCAAGACCUGUUGGGCUUUGGGUUCUCCGUUUGUUAUAAACAUGGUCUAAAAUAUCCAUAAUAUUUUGAUAUUUUCAUCAAAAUUUUCGUGUUUUUUAACUAUCGAUAUUUUUUUGGACUACCAAUAUUUCUAAUAUCAUCGAUAUUUUAGACCUUGCUAAGUCACUCAUGUAUCUUACUAUGCAAUGUAUAGAGUGUAAAAUAUUGUACUAAUUCAUUAUAUAUAAAUUAUUAUGGUGUAUUUUAUUAAUUACUACAUAUUUUCUACACUCACAAUGUUUGCCAGCUCGCUAUAUAAUCAACUUAAAUCAGUUAUAUCUAUCAUGCAAUGCAUUUCCUUCUAAUUUUUUGUGAUAAACUAAUAGAUAAUUGACUAAAUAAACAUCAUACAAAGUUUCAAUAAAAAUUUCCAAGUUUUUCUUAUAAUUUCCGUGGUUUUUAUUCAAUUUUUAUCGAUAUCGAUAAUAUCCCGAUAUUUCCAUCGAAAUUUCCUUGUUUUUGAACUACCGAUAUUUCCGAUAUCAUCGAUAUUUAAUACCUUGGUUAUAAACCAUGAUUCUCUCCCGCCCGUCAUUUUUUAUAAUUGGACGGUCGAGAUUUAAAUAAAAAUUAAUAUUUUUUUGUACUUGUAAACAAAAAAUUAUUGUUUGACUUGUAUGAAUAACGAAUUCAAUAUCGUUUAAUAACGAGUUCAAUGUCGUUUAUAAGUGUUUGGCCACAAGCAUAUUCUUUAAAAAGUAAUUUAUCGAUUUUCCUCCUAACUUAUACCCCACUACCCAUAUCCCCCUUGCCCUUUAUUUUGGUCAAUAUAUUCUUGAGCUAUUAUAAAUAGUCAAUAUCCUUCACUAGUACAUCUCAUCUAACUUUUUGUUAAAAGUUUAUCUCAUGUUGAUCAUUAAUGUUAUUUAAAUUACACAAAAAGAAAUCAAUAGUGGGAUACAAGUUUACAAAGAAAUCGAAUAAAUAAUUUUAUUAAAAUCACAUCAAGAAUUUUAGUUACAAGGACUUCAAACUUUUUUGUCAAUUUUUUGGUUAUUUGAAAACGAUCUUAGCUAUUUUCUAUACAGACAAUAUAUUAUGCUUUUAGUUAUUUUUAAACAUUUUAACCUAUUUUAAAGACAAUUUAAACAUAGGUGAAAGAUUUUAGGAUUCCGCUACACUCGUCAUUCAAGCCGCCAUAGGUUAGCCAUAAUAUCACACAAUGCCUAAAAUUACAGUUCUAAAGACUGGUUUGGUAUUGCUGUGCUUUGAAAAAAAGUUGUUGUAAGAAUAAGCGGUUGUGCUGUGAGAAUAAGUGGCUGUGAAAUAAAUCAGCAGAGUGUUUGGUAAACUUUUUUGUAAAAGUGCUUUUGGAAAAAAAAAAAAGCAGUCUUAUAGUGGGUCUUUUCAUUAAAGGAGCACUGUAGCUCCGUGUGCUUUGAAAAAAAGCCAAUUUUCCAAAGCUACAAAUAGCAGUUUCAGCUUUUUCCUUUGAUUUCAACUUAUUCUCACAGCAGCUUCCAAAAUAAGCCCUUUUUUUUUCAAUUUACCAAACACCUAAAACCCGCACAGCUUUUUUUCAUGUGUGCUUUUUUUUUAAGCACCUCACUCCCAAACCACCCCUAAGUAAGCACAGUCAUCCUAAUCCCAUUCAAUUCCCCAUUUCCCAAAUACCCUUCGUAUAAAAAGAAAAAUAAAACUUAGUUUGAAUCAAUGCCCUAUAAUACUAGUGCCCGCUCAUAACCAUGGACGGAGCCAAUGAAGGCUCACUGGGAGCAGAUGCUCCCACUCAAGUAAUUUGUUUGUUUAGUUGCAAACUACAAUUAUAUAAUAUACACGGGUUAUCUUUGAAGAAAAUAUAUGUAUCUAAUAUCCAACAUACAUUCAUUCUACUUAUACUUCAUAUCAAAUAUUAUAUGAGCAAUAGUGCUCUUGUUCUGUCAUUCAAACCGAAAAAACCCUCUCUCGCCUAUUAUGUACUUAUAUUUUUCUCAUCACUUUGCCACUUUCCACUACUAUAUUGAAAUUUUUGUAACAUUGGAAUUGUGAUACAUCAUCAUUUGAAACCAUCCUUAAUAUCAUAUUGCGUAUAACCAGUGAAGAAAAUAUCGAUAAUAUCGGCGAAAUAUCGCCGAUAUUAUCGUUUUUUUUGGACCCCGAUAUUUUAUUAACUAUCCAACUUGUUUUCGGCAGAAUAUCGCGAUAUUAUCGAUAAUAUCGAUAAUAUCGCGAUAUUUUCGAAACUAUCGCGAUAUUUGGUAUGGACUCAUCGGAGAACACAGCCGGAGCAAAUAAUCCGAACCCCUAAAUCCCCAAAUUCUAAUUCAAAGCAAAUGAACUGAAUCUACAAUACAGGAAUCCCUAAAAUCGAUUUCAGUACAAAAAUCAACAUGCAGAAAAAUCGCAAUCUGUACAAAAAUUGUAAUUUACAAGCCGAGAAGAACGCCGGAGCAAAUUAACCGAAUCCCUAAAUCCCCAAAUUCGAAUUCAAAGCAAAUGAACUGAAUCCCUAAUUCCUAAAUCCCUAAAAUCAAUUUCAGUACAAAAAUCAAGCAACAUGCAGAAAAAUCGCAAUCUGUACAAAAAUAGAAACCCUAAUUCCUAAAUCCCUAAAAUCGAUUUCAGUACAACAAAGGUGCAACAUGCAGAAAAAUUGAAAUCUGUACAAAAAUUUAAAGUAAAAGCCGAGAAGAAGAGAAGUAGGAGCCUGGGAACAUCGUCUUCCUCACGAAUCCAAGAAGGCUGGGACAACGUCGUGCUCCUCAGUGGUGUCGACGGCUGGGACUACGAUGAUUUUCGGUCGAUCUCCAUGGAUCAAGGUGGUUUAGAAGGCGGUUAUCGAGUGGUGUCGACGGCUGGGUUUAGGGCGGGUGAGAUGGGAGGAGCAGAGGGAGACACGGAGACACGGACGAGGAGGAUUGAGAGAUGGAUCGAGAUUCGAGAGAUGAUGUCUGUGUGUGUGUGUGGAAGAACUGGUGAAGGGGGAAGGGAGGGAGAAGACUGAGAAGUUCUCAGUGAGAACGAAGGCUCAGACCUCAGAGGGAGAGAAGAGAGAAGAGAGAGAUUGAGAGGAUUCGAGAAUAUGGUAGUGGGAAAUGAAUGAUCGAGAGAGAGACUGAGCUCCGUGUGUGGUGUACGUGUGUGGUGUGCGUGUGUGGUGUGGUGUGGGGGGUCUCGAAGUGUGUGUGUGGUGGAGUGUGAGUUCUUCACUCUUUUUGACUGUCUGAGUGGUGGCGUGUAAGAAAAAAAAAGCAUCCAAUGCUCCAAAUUAUUCAAAACCAAAUCAUUCCAAACCUAUGUCUAGCUCUCUGAUCCAAUGAUCCAAAUAACUUUUUGCAAUUUCAGAACAUGGACAACAAAUAAUACUGCUUUCAUAAUGAAAAAUUUGAACCUCAUAGGAACUCUAUGUGGUACUAAAGUGUAAAAUAUUGUACUAAUUCAUUAUAUAUAAAUGAUUAUGGUGUGUUUAGACUUCUUUCAUUAAUUACUACAUAUUUUCUACACUCACAAUAUUUGUCAGAUCGCUAUAAUCAACUUGAUAAUGUUAAAUCCAUCAUGCAAUGCAUUUCCUUCCAAUUUUUUGUGAUAAACUAAUAGAUAAUUGACUAAAUAAACAUCCUACAAAGUUUCAAUAAAAAUUUCCAAGUUUUUCUUACAAUUUCCGUCGUUUCCAUGUAAUUUUUAUCGAUAUCGAUAUUUUACCGAUAUUUCCGUCGAUAUUUCCGUGUUUUCGGACUACCGAUAUUUCCGAUAUUACCGAUAUUUUCUUCCUUGCGUAUAUAACCAUACUAUAAUAAGGUUUUCUUAGUUGUUUUCGGUUGCUCCCACUAGAAGAAAUUUCUGUCAUCCUCCCCGAUCAUAACUUGGAUUUUUUUAAUAUAUUCGAUAGUAUUAACAACACGAGUAGGAGAGUGAGCUAAACUUUUCAUUGGAUUAGCUAUAAUAAUUUUAUUCAAAUUUACAUUUGACGAAAAUCAAAUAAAAAAAAUACCGAUACAUCGUAAUAACAAGUGGUAGUAAAAUUUGAUAAAAGAUUCUAGGGAACCAUCCAUUUUUAACACUGUUCAUUGUUUUCCAUAAAAACCAAUUUUAAACUUGAGAUUUACCCCCAAGAAUGAAAUAAAAUAAUAAAGACAGAAGGGGAAGGUGGAGAAGAAGAAAAGAAGAACGUUUAUUUUUAUGUCGCAGCCGCAGAUAACCCCAUUAAAUGCAUAAUACUUUAACAUUCUCUCAGAUCACACACGCAUCCUCUCCGCCUCACAAACGCCCUGAAUUUUCUCACUUACCAAACACACCGCUUCCGCUGAUUCUCCCCCACUGGUCGCGUUCCGUCGCGGGAAUUCGAUAUUCAGCUGCGUCGUUUUCAGCGAGCCGUGAUCUGAAUCUGGUACGACAGGGAAGGUGAGCAAUUAUUAGGAACUGGGGAUUUUGAAAGGUGUUUGGUUGGUGAGAAAAUUGACAGAGGAAACGAAAUAAAAUGGAAUGGCAGUGUGAUGAAAUUGUGAAAGGUUGUGUUUUUCAGAUGGGGUUCUUUUGGUAUUUCGAAAUGGCGGUGCCAACUAAAUGGAUAUUGACAGAAAAUGUUGCUUUUUGGGCCCUGGAUUAUGAAAGCUUGUAAAUUUAUGAUUUUUGAUAACUUUUCGUCUCAAAUUAUUACAUUUUCUUAGCAACCAAAUGAUAAUUUGACUUCUUUCUUUCACCUUAAUUGGAUUGCAUUGGAUCUGUAGAUUGGUAAUUUUCCUUUGGCAUUGUUCGUUACGUAAAACUGUAGUAGAUUAUAUAGAUAUUAGUAAUGUAGUGCUUAACCAUCUGUUUCUCUGCUGAGGAAUUUUGGGAAAUGGAAUAGCUUCUAGUCAUAUGCAUUUGGGCUUAGCUGAGAUGAAAUGUGUUCCAGGUUAGAUAGGGAAAACCUAAGAUCAGUUUUUUCUUCGGCUUCCAAUACCCUCCCCUCAAAGUUUUGGUAUAAUUUUCAGUUUAACUAGAACAAUUUCCCCCACAUUUUCCUGCUAUCUUUUGUGUUUUUGCUUCCUGGGAUGCAAUGCUAACUUGGUCGAGUGGCGUGAAGGUUGUAAUGCAUUGUAAGGUUUUGUUUCAAUUAAGUGAAAGCUUACAGUUUACAGCUUGUGACAUUUUUGCUAUGCAAGUUAAUGUAGAUGUACAUAUGGAAUUAGUACACAUGCACAGAAUGUGUGAGGGAAGCUGGAUGUUUUUACACAAAUUAUGUUUUAUACUUCAAUUGAUUUUCUUGUUUGACUUUAUAAGAACCGCGGCAUUUGUAUGUUUGUCAGCUAAGUGUUGAAUGGAUCAGAGACCGGGACAAAGGUGAAAUUUGUGAACAAAGGGCGAGGGAGCAGAUAGUUGUGAACCAAUCUAUGGAGUCUGGAGAGUAUGAGGAAGGCAUGGAGGUUGAAUUCUCUGCAAAUGGGAAUUCCAUGAAAGCAACAGAGGUUCAGGCCAAGCUUGAUGAAGGAAAUAUUCAGGAGGCAGAGUCUUCAUUACGAGAAGGGCUAUCACUCAAUUUCGAGGUUAGUUUAUGCCAUCAUCGAUAGGUGUCAAAAAGAAACCAUCUUUUCCAUAAGUUUAUCUCUUUCUGUACGACUAUUAGCACCAAUCAGAGUAGUGCUUUGAUGAUUGAUUAUGACUUAUCCAAGAUGAAAAACACUCAUUUCUGAUAAUCUACAGGAAGCAAGAGCCCUUCUUGGAAAGCUGGAGUAUCAAAGAGGUAACCUAGAAGGUGCACUUCGUGUGUUUGAUGGCAUUGAUCUUCAAGCUGCCAUAGAGCGAUUGCAACCUAAUCUUGCUGAGAAAACACCUUCUAAGAAGGGCCGAUCUCGUUCUGACUCACAGCAUACAGUCCCACAGCAUGCUGCUACUCUCGUUCUUGAUGCCAUAUACUUAAAAGCCAAGUCUCUACAAAAGCUUGGGAGAUUAAAAGGUUUGGUAUUGUUCCAGUAAUUUAUGUGACGGUUUUCCAUUAUCUUUUACCUUUUUAAGUUUGAAUUCAAGUAAAUUGGAAUCUUGUUUUAUGUGUUUGCAGAAGCUGCUAAUGAAUGCAACAAUGUUCUUGAUGCCGUGGAAAAAAUAUUCCAUCAGGGCAUACCUGAUGCACAAGUAGAUGGCAGAUUACAAGAGACAGUCAGCCAAUCUGUGGAGCUUCUUCCUGAGCUUUGGAAGCAAGCUGGCUACCCUCAAGAAGCAAUAUCUGCUUAUAGACGUGCCCUACUUAGUCAAUGGAACCUUGACAACGACUGUUGUGCAAGAAUUCAGAAAGGGUUUGCUGUGUUUUUGCUGUACAGUGGAGUAGAGGCUGGUCCACCCAGUUUAGGUGCUCAGGUUGAAGGUUCAUAUGUCCCUAAAAAUAAUCUGGAGGAGGCUAUUCUGCUUUUGAUGAUCCUUUUGAGAAAAUUAUCCCUAGGUAAAACCAAAUGGGAUUCAUCAUUGAUGGAACAUCUAACGUUUGCUUUAUCUUUAUGCAACCAAACUUUUGUUUUAGCCAAGCAACUUGAAGAAAUCAUGCCUGGAGUAUAUCACCGUGUUGAUCGUUGGAAUUCUUUAGCCCUUUGUUAUUGUGGAGCAGGACAGAACCAAGAGGCUUUGAACCUAUUAAGGAAGUCUUUGCACAAACAUGAACGACCAGAGGAACUGAUGGCAUUGUUAUUGGCCGCCAAAAUCUGCAGUGAGGAUUCCUAUGUUGCAGCUGAGGGAGUGGGAUAUGCACAAAGGGCUAUUAGCAAUGCUCAGGGGUUGGAUGAACAUUUAAAGGGUGUAGGACUUCGCUUGUUGGGUCUUUGUUUGGGGAAGCAAGCAAAAGUUUCUUCCUCUGACUUUGAGAGGUCACGUCUUCAGUCUGAAGCACUGAAAUCACUAAAUGAGGCCAUUAAUUUGGAGCCGAACAAUUCAGAUUUGGCUUUCGAGUUGGGUGUUCACUACGCUGAGCACCGAAAUCUAGAUACUGCUUUGCGCUAUGCAAAAAAGUUCAUUGAUCAAACAGGAGGCUGCCUAAUAAAGGGUUGGAGGUUGCUUGCUCUUGUUUUGUCUGCUCAACAGCGAUUUUCAGAAGCUCAUGUGGUCACUGAUGCUGCUUUAGAUGAGACCGCAAAAUGGGAACAAGGGCCACUUCUCAGGCUUAAAGCAAAGCUAAAAAUCUCCGAAUCGUUACCCAUGGAUGCAAUUGAAACUUAUCGUAACCUUCUUGCUUUGGUUCAAGCUCAAAGGAAAUCCUUUGGGCCUCUCAGAAUUAGUCUUCAGGUUAACAUUCUGACUACUGCUUUACGUUCUUCACUUCGUAUCAAAAUAGAGUCUAUCCAGAUUCCUCCUAAAUAUAAGAGUCCUCCCUAAGCUAUUAUUUGUAGUGGUGGGAAAAUGGUAUUAUAUUGUGAAUCUGCAAUAUUUGGGAGGAAGUUCAGAAAUUUGAUCUGAUUGUUUCAUUCACGUAGUUUUUUUUUUCAGAUAUUGGGGUUGGUAUGUGAACGCUGGAUUAAGUUGCUUUAUCUGAAGAUAUCGGUUGGGUUGGGGUGGGGGUAGGGGUGCUUAAAGGUCGUUAUGAGUUUGAUUUACAAGGUGGGGCUAGUUCUGCACUUUAAAAGAUGGACAAACUUUAAAAUAUACCAAGAUGUGUGGCACUGUCUAGUAACUGGGAAACGAGUAAUUGUUGCCAUUCGAUUAACAUUUACUUGUUCCUCUUUCAUUUUCAAAUUCAUUUCUGAUGCAAUAUUUUGUGUAUCUAAAAUUACAUUUUAAAUAUUUUCUCAACAAGUUGUUCCUUCCUAUGUUUUUGUUUGCCUUUUUAUAUAGGUUGAGGAUGAUAAAGUCAAUGAAUUUGAAGUUUGGCAUGGAUUAUCAGACUUAUACUCUAGCCUUUCAUAUUGGAAGGAUGCUGAAAUUUGUUUGAGCAAAGCCAGAGAGCUGAAGCAACACUCUGCAGAAACGCUGCAUGCGGAAGGUAAGAACUAAACUCGUGUGCUAUAAUUAAUGGAUUUCUAAGGCAUUUCUAUUCUAUUUCCUAGAAAGUGAUGCAUGAAAAUCUCCAAAGUGUCUUUCAAGGGUGAGUUUUAAUCAUGAAGGAACUAAAUAGUGUGACAGAACUUUCAAACACUUCCAACACUAGGGGACCUAACGUGGCACAGAAGCCGUGUACCUUCAUAGAAAUGUAAUGUGAUCAUUUGAUAUGCAUUAUGUUGACUGUUAAAUUACAUCAUGUGUAGGUGUCAUCUUUGAAGGACAGGGACAAAUUCAGGAAGCUCUAGCCGCUUAUAUCGAUUGUCUUCUGCUAGAACCCUGUUAUGUUCCGUGCAAGAUUUUGAUUGCCGCUCUUCUGUCAAAGAUGGGAUCAACGGCAUUGCCUGUGGCAAGGAGCUUGCUGUCGGAUGCAUUAAGGAUCGAUCCUAGCAAUCGAAAGGCUUGGUAUUACUUGGGAAUGAUUCACAGAGAUGAUGGACGAAUAGGGGAUGCCAUAGACUGCUUCCAGGCAGCUUCCAUGCUUGAAGAAUCUGAUCCUAUUGAAAGCUUCAGCUCUGUUCUCUGAUGUCUCCCUCUGAAAGAGCCACUCGGGGAACUCGGAAUCUGCUUAACUUUCAUCUCAUUCAUCUGUUGAAGGGAAACAUUUUUUUGAGCGUAUUACGAGAAGAAACGAAAGCAAGGGAAGCAGAAGCUCGUUUGAUUUUUGUGCAUUGGAGAAGUGAAAGUACAGGAGAUUUUUUUUUCUUUUAUUCUUUGUUUUGUUUUCAUUUUUGGAGGGCUGGUUUUUAGCAAUACUUUUGCUCAGCUGUGUAAAUGUAUGUGGUUUAACUGAGCAAAAGUAUUUAUCUAAAUGAAAUUCACACAUUCAUUUUAUUGAGUUGUAUCAAUUGUAUCUUCUCAUGCUCUCAGUUUUGGAGGGCAGGUGUUACGCACACCGUUAUGUAGCGUUACAAAUUCACUUUACAUAACGCAUAUUUUUAUUUUAUUUUAUCAAAUAUUAUAUUCUAAGUUCAUACGGUAUCAACAAUAUUGUCAACGUAUAUUGUAGUACGUGGAUUAAUAACACCUCCCGGUAGUGCCACCAGGCACCACGCCAACAGUCCUAUGUUCUCCAUCCUCAACUCCAUCUCCACUAUUUAUUUAUCGUAUAAAUACAAUUUUUCUCCAAGGAAUGUAUUUCGAGGGUGAUAUAAACAAUAAUUUGGGUUUGGAAGUGGGUAUUUGAGGCUUUGCGUCCACCCCAGAUGGAUAAGAAAUGCAAGUGGGAAGAGGGCCCAGCAAGCUGCAGCAACACGUGAAGGGGGAAGUGGUGGUCCCGCGGGUCAAAAGCAACAUGACCGCGAGAGAUUCGCUGUGGGUGGGCUCACAACAAGCCCAGUUUCUAUGAUUGAGAUCGGUAGAGCCAUUGUCAUUCAAAGCUGCCAUGCCUCCUGGGUUAUAUGAUUAUUGUGGCGAGCCCAACUACAUCUUUUUGUAAAUCCCACGGCUCAAAAUCAAUUCUAACGGUAAUAAAAAAAAUCUAACGGUUUAAAUAUAAAUUUAAACGGUCAAAAUAAUACUAUUAAUUAGUUUUAAAAUCAGAUAUACCCAUUGCAUUUGACCAUUAAUAAUAAUAUUAAUUAAUAUUACUUUAAUAUAUUUUUUGUAUUGAUUUGGAAGGAAAAGCUGCAGCAGCCAAAUGAGAAAAUCGACUAACGCUGAGCGGCUGAUAAGUUGUAGUAUUCAAAUUCUACUUUGUAAUUUGGGUAACGGAUAUCACAAUUAAACGGAGGCCACCUAAAUAUCACAAUUUAUUUAUAAUAUUCCGUUACCUAUUUUAUUCUUAGGCUAUAUUUUAUAAUAAUAAUAAUAAUAAUAAUUCAGUGAUCGUCCAAUGAUUGUGCAAAUACUGAUAUAUGCCACUCACAUGAGACCUGCAAACACAAAACACCACUGCUUGAUCCACAGGGAAAACAGUAAUUUUCCACACCCUUUCCCAGCCACCCCAAUCGAAAUGGCGAGUUUAUGUGAGCCAUUCUGACGUGAACGUAUCUUCAAGACUUGGGUUCAUGUAGCCGGAGGAUGGCGGCCGGGAAGUUACAGGCGGGAGAUAAGAAGCGGUAUAGACAUGGCCUCCUCGCCCAUGACUGGCUCGAACAAAUCCAACUCCCCAUAACGCUCAAGAACUCUCAUCCUGCAGUCUUCGGCUGCCAUUGCUCCAGUAGCGAAUGCACCGUGCACUGAGCCUGGGAAGUCCACACUUGUUGCCUCCCCGGCAAAAAAUAGGGUAUCCACCGGGACCCUUAGCUUCUCGUACAGAUCAUGCGGUUUGCCUACCAUGUCGUAGCUAUAAGACCCGAGCGUGUUAACAUCGCUACCCCAGCGAGAAACAAGAUGCUGAAUCUGCAAAGUUGGAAAGGGAUCAAUUAAGUUAGGGUUCAAAGAUUGAAAGAGACUAAAUCGCAUUUCAGUGUCUGAUAUGGAGUUUUGGAAACAAGAAUUACCGGAGUAGAAGCGUCUGGAAGGAUCUUCUUGAGUUGCGUAAAAGCAAAAUUAGCAGCCUCUUCAUCAGACAUUUUCUCUAUGUCUUUAGCCAGCUGCCCUGCAGGCAUAUAAACAAGCACAGAGUGACCGGUUGCCUUGUGAAGAUUUAGAAAGUAGCUGCAGCAGUAAGAUGUGUCAGCAACCACUCCUAAGAACUCCACGUUUGGCCAAAACACAUUUUCAAAGUGCAAUACGAUUUUAUUCUCAAUUCCCACUCCGAGGUCUUCAAUGGCUGCUUCCUUCCAAUCGGGUAGCUUUGGCUCAAACGUUAUGCUCUUUGCUUUAAGCACACCGAGAGGAACAGCAACAACAGCAGCAUCUGCAACAAACGUUCUCCCAUCCUCUACUGUUACCUUCACCCCAUUAUAUCGCCUUGUUAUUUUUUUGACCCUGAGAAUAGGAAUGUACAAUGCUGGUUAGUUUAGCUGCAUGCAGAUUGCCGAACAUAUAUAAAACAACAUGGUCGUACCCAGUGCACAAGGCUCCCGCUUUACGCAGGGUCUGGGAGAGGUGAAUGUCGGCUAGCCUUACCCCCAUUUAUGGAGAGGCUGCUCCCAAGUCUCGAACCCGAGACCUACCGCUUAUGGGCGAAGGCACUUACCAUCGCACCAAGUGCGACCUCUGAUAUAUAAAACAACAUGAAUAAAAAAAAAUGCAUACCUGUGGCUCAAGCGUACAUCGAGACCCUUGGCAAGGGUGUUAAUAACAGGGAGGUAACCCCUGACCAUCAGACCAUGACCACCAGGGAGCAGUUCUUCCUAUAUAAGAGAAUAAAAAACUAUAAUUAAAUCACCUAGGUUAUAAACUCGUUAAUGCAAAAAUUCGGAUUAACGUACACUGACAUAAUAAUUUACAGUUGAAUUAAGACUCAGAAAGGCAAUGCGUUUAUUAGUAAUCUGAUGGAUGAGAAACUUGCCUGAUCCCAGCAUUUAAGUGAAAUUGUAUCAGCAUCUGCAGCAAACCAACCUUCCAUUCUGCACAAAUACCACUGCAGUACCUUAUGCGCAACUCCUUCCAACCUGUCCAACAUAAAGCAUAACACUUUCCCUAAACUAUUUCUAGACCAACAAGACGUAAACAACUGAAACAACGUAAUUAAAUAUGAUUUUAAAUUAUGUACCUUAAUUCUGGUUUCCUUUCAAAAACAAUUGAGAAAGCACGGGCAAUGGGCAUGUCCUCACUAAAUUCCUGUCUUACCGCGUCUGUCUGCAUUAAGGAAACAAAAGCAUAUCAAAGAAUGGCCAAAAUGGCAAGACACUAUUUAAGGCUUAAGAUAAAAGCAAAGAAACAAUAAGAGUAUUUCAAAAACCCAAGUCUACAGCUUUAGAAAAAUAAAAUAUACACAUCAGAUGACUUGCCUCUUUCAAAAUGUUCUCAAAUACUUCGCCAACUUUCGUGACCAAAUCUUGAGGAACUUGAUUCCCAUCCAUAUCAAAGAGUGCAUAGCUGCAAAGAACACAAGAAAAUCUCCAUGAUGUCAGACAUGCCGGUGCACAUGACAGCUGGGGAGAAAGAAAUCAACUUCAAAGAAAAGAGAAAGCAAUGUAUUACCAUCACAAAUAUUUAAACACACUUGAACGUAUCAACCGUAUAUAUAUUACAUUGUAGACUGCUGGUAAUACUGUAAAUUGUCGACGGCAUACCUUGGUAAUAUACUAGAAUGUAGGAGUAUAAAGCGACAAAACAAUUUAGACCCAAAAACAAAGAACCAAGCACUGUAAAACUAAAGCAAUGCUCACCGACAACCCAAAAUUGAACAACAUUUAAAAUUCACAUCAUUUCAAUACAGCCACUCAUUUCAAUACAACACCUACAUAAAGGGAGUAUCAGUUUGAGGAAGAUAUUAGUACCUUUCCAAGUCAUGGUCAUAUAACACAGAGUUAUCUCCACUCGUACGGUAUAAGGGUAACCCCAGUCUCCCAAUCAAUGGUGCCAAUGGAUUCUCUUUGCAUACUCCGUGCAACCUGAAGCAUCAAACAACAAAAUUUAGGCUUCUAAAUUCAAGUCAUCCGAAUUCAAAAUUCAGGCGAAUCGAAUCCCUAUUACAAGCAGGCAAUCCACAUUCUUGGCUUACCAUGAUGCACCCAAAUCAAUGGGGAAACCGAAUGAGUAAUCGGUGCAAACUCGACCGCCAAGUCUAUCUCGAGACUCCAACAGCACAACCUGACCAUCAAAAUUCAAAAUUCAACAAAACCCAUAACUGCAAAUUUCAAUGUGCAAAACACUGAGCUGGGAUUUCCAUCUGGGUACCUGAAUUGAAGCAUCGUGGAGAGCACGUGCGGCUGAAACACCCGCCAUGCCGCCGCCUAUAACUAUUACAGACGGAGACGGCGCCGAUCGCUGCCUCUUCUCACCAUUUGAGCAAAGAGCUGAAUUUGCACAAGAAAAAUACCAAACAAAUUAAUUUUACACAUAAUCCAGGAUUACGAACUUUUAAAAGAAACGAACUUUUAAACCCCACAUGGAAAUUAAAAAGGUAAAUGUGAACGGACCUCUUCGCAAUUGGUGAUUACUCUUGCUUCCAGACGCCAUGGUGAUUCAAAUCGAAAUUGGUAUUGGAAUUAAAAUUAAAAUUGGGAUUAAAAUUAAAAUUAGAUAAUAAUAAUAAUAAAGGAUCGAGGGCUUUCUUCUCGAAUUUAAGAAUGGUAAGAGGCAAUUGAGGGGAGUAAUGGGGAAUGAAGAGCAAGAGACACGUAAUGAAGUGAUUGGAAUUGGAAUUGGAAUUCAAUGUCCUCUUUGAAAAACCGAGCUCUCCCAACCAGCUCAUGCGACUUUCUUGUUACCAAACGAUUUCUCAAACAGCUGCGAUCGCCGAUCGGAUUCCGAUUUCCGGCGAGAUAUCGAGCGCAAUCGAACAAUGGAGAGAUCGGGGGGAGGGGGGUGAAAGUCGGGAUUUUUGGCCGCGGAUUUGGGUGCAAACUGGAAUUUAGUGGGUUUUGUGAGAAAUUGGUGAAAACGACACGUGAAUUCUGGAGAGAGAGAGAGAUUUGAUUCCCACCGCCCUGGUUGCCGUGGGUAUAUAUAGACAGCUAGGCCAGCCCCAACAGGUUAAGGAGAUAAAAGUAUUCUCAACUCGCUGGGGUAUCUGGAUGUGUACUCGCUUCAGGAUUGUGCCGCGUGGAGAUGAUAUUUUGGAAAUUAUAGGGACUCUGAUUUCAAAUUUUCGCGCAAAAAUGGAUUUUCCCGAGUAGGGUUAAAUGUGGCAACAACUGAAAAGAAAGUGAAGCGUCAAUUGUCGUACCGUGUACGGUAUUCAACCUGUUUUUUUUUAACAAAUAAUAUUAUUCACAUUAAGAAAGAAGUUGUAGAUUUAAUCUCACAAUAGAUUAACAAUAAUAUAUCUUUUAUUUAUUUUUUAUUUUUUAUUUUUUGUAUUUAUUUUUUAUUUUUUAUUUUUUGUUCUUUUCUUAAGUUUAUCCAAGUUUUUUCUUACAAAAAAAUAAAAAAUAAAAAAUAAAUCUAAUAAUUUUAUUUAAUGAAAAUGACUAAAAAUUUAAUAUGAUAAGUAAAAAGGCUUUUUAUAUUAGCACCCCACAAAAUGUUGAAUGUACCCCACAUUAAAAUUUAGGGGUGUGAUAUCCACACACCCCAUUUUACUUCUCACACACCUUUUUAAUUUUCGGCUGUCGGAUCAGAUGAAUUGAAGAAGAUCAACGGACAUAAAUUAUCAAGGGUGUGUGAGAAGUAAAAUAGGGUGUGUGGAUAGCACACCCCUAAAAUUUAAUAUUAAAUGACUUAUUUAUCCCACUAUACAGUGACAAUUUUGACCUUAUUGGAUUUAAAAAUGUUCUAAAUACACUUCAAAUCACUUUUAGUGUAUUAUUUAUCUUCUCAACUGUCAUAACACUCUCACCCUCUAUUGUUGAAUAAAACCCUAACCAAUAAAACUACAAACAUGUUGAUUGAGAAAAAUUGUUUUUGACGAAUGGAAAGGCCUAAAUUGAUGAUCGUAUCCAGAAACAAAUCAAAGAGCAAAACCAAUGAGGACUUGUUGGUGGAAAUGUCUGAGAAAAUUGGGUUUGAAGUUGAAGUUCUUAGACCUAAUUCGAGCACCAAGUUGGCAAAGAUUUAUUGGGUUCUUAAUUUGAGUGAUGUCGUGAUAGGGGUUCAAGGUGCUACAAUGACAUAUUUUCUGUUCAUGAGACCUGGCUCUAUGUUGAUCCAAGUGAUUCCUCUUGGAACUAGUUGGGCAGCUGAGGCAUAAUUUGGGGAACCUGCAAGAAAGCUUGAUUUAAACUACAUCGGCUACAAAAUUCUUCCCAUAGAGAGCUCGUUGUACGAAAAGUAUGGUAAUUAAAGAUGAUCAUGUUCUUAAAAAUCCAGCAAUGAAGCCAUUACUGAUGUUAUCCUACUUAACGAUGGUAAACAUCUGUCAAUGCAAACUAUGCUAAGACGAUUUCAAAACAUUCGACAAACUAAACGUCUAGAUGAUUCGAAAUAUUUCUACAAACUAAACGUUCAAAUGGUUAGAUUCAGUCCUUGAAAAUUAAAAAUGAGUGUUAUAAGAUUUGAGAAAUGUGAGGUGUAUAGAAAACGUGGGGUGUAUGUACAAAAUAUAAGGUGUAUAUUGAGAAUGCGGGGUGUGGGGGUAUUAUGGGAAAGUAUGUGGGGUGUAUUAAGAUAAUUUUUAAGUGAAAAAAAAAUGUGGGGUGUAUUAAGUAUGUGUGGGUUUAUUCAAUAAUUUGUGGGGUGUUAAUAUAAUAAGCCUAAGUAAAAAACAUAAAAUAGGUUAACAGGCAAAUCUCGCACAUCUCUACUUUUCUCUCUCUCUCUCUCUCUCUCUUCUUUAUCUUUUCCUCUCCCUCUCUUCACCCAUCACCAUCAUCUCUCUCGUUUCUUUCACUCGUUACAAACAUCAUCUCUCUUCUUUUUCACACAUCAAUAUCAUAUCUCUCUUCUCUUUAAUGUCACUCCUUCCUCUAUCCCUUUCCUUUUUUAUUUAUUUUGUGAGAAAAUUGUAGAAAUAGUCAUUCAACUUUAAUUCAAUUGGAGCAAUAAUUCUUCAACUAAAAAUUCAUGAUAAUUGGUCUCUUAACUUAUCAAAAACGUGCAAAUAUGGUCAUUUUUGUCUACUCCAUCAGAAUUCCAUCAAAAUGAGCCGUGUUGAAAUGACCGUUACUACAACUGAGUUAAAGUUUAGGUACCAUUACUCCAAUUAUGUUAAAGUUGAGGGAUCAUUUCUCCAAUUGGGUUAAAGUUGAGGGACCAUUACUACAAAUUUUCUCAUUUGCUUUUCCAUAUUUGUUUUUUGAUUCAACCUCACGUGUGUAGCACGUUACUCAUUUUAACGGAAGUUCUAAUGAAAUUGACGGAAAGUUGAUGAGAGGUGGCUGGGAGGAGAGAGGGGAGAGAGAAGAUAGAGAGGUGGAUGAGAGGAGAAAUGAGAGAGAGAAAUAAAGAGAGAGGGUGGCGAUGGGUGGAAAAUGAGAGAGGGAGGGAGAGAAAAAUGAGUCUUAUUGGGCCAGUUUUAUUGAGCUGUUUAAUUUGAGUUUUGUCAUAACUAUUAAACAAAGUUAUUAAGAUACUUUUGGUUAAGAUUCAAAUUUUUGAAGUCAUUUUCAUUAGUAUUCCUUCAUAAGAAAAAAGUUAACAAACAUAUUUCACGUAGAACUCGGUCCAGUGAAUUGUGCUACGAUGGAUAUAAUUUAUGUAAUUUAUCAAAAAUAUAAAAAAUGAGAUUCAAACUUAAGGGUAGAUGAUAAAUCAUAAAACACACAACUACAACCAACUUGGGUAAACAGUAAAUCCAUAUUUAAGAGAUGUAUUAAUGCCAACAGGAUCCUCUCCAGAUCCUUUUGGUGAGAAUCUUGAAAUCUAUAAAUCGUGUCCGUUCAUCGUACAUCAUGCGGUCAGUUUUUGUCAGGUAUUAUUUGUAUUCAAUUUUAAAUAAAAAUAAUUAAAAUGAUUUCUGAUCGCACGAUGUACAAUGAACGGAUAUGAUUCACGAAUUUCUAGGAUCCUCACAAAGAGAAUCCGGCGAGGACCUAGAUUCGUAUUAAUGUACCACUUUUGUGGGCUUUGUCAAAACACAUUGAGCUGUAAAUAAAGUUAUAUUUACGUGUCAAAUUAAUUGUUUGCGCACAUCUUUUAAGAGAAUGAUAGGAGUUGGGUUAAUAUUGAAUAAUAAGAAAACAUGGGUAGUAUUAUAAGGGGGUGUUUGUUUUCCUUCACUAUAGUUCACUGGACUGGACUGGACUAAGGCUUAGUCCAGUCCCAUGUUUGUUCCCCAUGGGGCUUAGAGUUAAUGAGAUUAGCUCUCACUCGCCCCGACUAAAACAGGGCCUAGCCAGUCUUAGCAAAGCCCCCAAAAACCAUGGGAUUGCUAAUCCCGUCUCCAAACUUGCGUAGAACGAUCGCAUGCAGCAAGGCUUAUGAACUGCAAAUCUGCAAAAAUGCUUCUGGGCGACUUUGUUUGCCAACCCAUGUCCAGAUCUGAAACCCAGCCCCACCCACAGCCUAAAUCUCAACACCAAAAUUCAAAAACAUAUAUGCAAAAUGAUGAUAAACAACAAUCCCAAUAGCAAAAUUCUUCCUUAUUCUUGAAAAUUCCCAGAAAAUUUCCAAUUUUUUUUCCUUUUCCCCAGAAAAUUUCGGAAAUAAUGGAUAGAGAAGGGGAGAGAGUAGCUUUGGGACAAAGAGAUAUGGAGAGAUAGAGAGGGAGAGGAUAGUAGCAUGGGGACGAUUUGCAAGAAGAAUGAUUUGAAGGAUUUUGUGUUGCAGGAAAAAGAUGGAGAAAGGAAGUGACGGGGACAAAAUUAAAGAGGAAGAAAAGGGAAGAACUCUCUAGAGAGAGAGGUGGUGCGUGUACUUUGGAAAUAAAAAGGAAAAAACUUGAUUUAGUAAUAAAAUAUUAUUGAAUGAAUAAUAAAAUAUUAUUAGAUGUGUAUUAUAUAAUAUAAUAUUAUAAUUAUUAGUUAUCAUGUUUUUUAGUCCGACACUACAUCAAACGCAUCACUAAAUCAAUCCAACUUAGUCUAGUCUAACUUAGUCCCUGAAACUAGUCCAGUCCGAGAUAGUCCGGUGCAACAAACGCACCCUAAAGGGCUAAUCAAAUGAUUUUCCUUCUCAAUUGAAUCUUUAUCAUUUUGUCACACUCGCAUCAUCGAAACAACUUGAACUUUGAGAGGUAGUUUGGCUCAUUUGAAGAAGUAUAUUCGAAACUUGUACACACAAGGACAAAUCUUCCACAGACCGAGAAGUGUAAACUUGUGGGAAUUCCCGAAUAGAUACAAUAGGCACGAAAUGUAAAAAUAUGUUGCAUGUAAAAUUUCUACAAUAUAACAUGUUUGUAGACAAAUACACUCGUGGUAUUGACAUUACACUCCUCUUCCUAUUUGGUGAUAUUUAUAAAAAUAAAUGUGGUCAUCUCAAGCCUCAUCCAGUGGCGGAGCCAAGAUUUUUUGUGAGGAUGGGCCUCUUACAAAGGUUCUUAAAAAACGAUGCAUCAAAGGUAAUUAAAAUUCCAAAAUAUAUAUGCAUCGAUAAUAUUUCAUUCAUUUUAUGAUCGAGAUCGUUCAUAUUAUAAAUUACUAUAAAAAGAAUAUGCAUUAAAACUAAGAUCAUUUCGUCAAUAAUUGUAACAAAUAGAUAGACCAUUCGUAAUGCUUUUAUUGAAUCCGUCUAUCUGUUUCCAUACAGUUCGAUGACAAAAAUCUUAGUUUAAUUGAUUUUUACAAAUAUGAUAUUUAUAUAUUAAUUUAGGGUAAAUUUUCGUUUGACCCCUAAACUAUAAUCCCAGUUGAAAUUGAGCUCCUAAACUUUUUUUUUUGAUAAAUUAACCCCCUAAACUAUGUAAAAUCAGUCAAUUAAUCCCUUAUCAUUAGAAUGCGAAAUCAAUUCCGUCAAAUUCAAGGGCAAAUUAGUCCUUUCAUGAUUAAUUGUUACUUGUCAGCUAUAACCACCAAUAAAAUUUUGACACAUGGACACAAAAUUAUCCAAAAACAUAUAGCAUAAUGAGAAAAUAUUAAAAAUGAAAAUAAAAACCAACACAUUAUUUUGUUUUCACAUGUUAUAAUUUUAUUGGUGGUUAUAGUUGACAAGUAAGAAUUAAUGAAGGAAAUACUAAUUUUCCUUUGAAUUUGACGAAAUAGUGGAUGAAAUAUACUAAUAAGGGGUCAAUUGACUGAUUUCAAAUAAUUCAAAGGGUUCAUUACCAAAAAAAUAGUCCAUGUGUUAAUUUCAAUUGGAGUAAUAGUUCAAGAGGUCAUAUGACAGUUUACCCAAUAAUUUAUGAUAUGAACGAUCUCAAUUAUAAAUACAAAAUUCUAUAAAUUGAUCACGAUGUAUCUUAAAGUUCCUCCUAACCCUUGAGGAGUCAAAUCUUUAUUUAAAAAAAGGGUAAAAGACUGUUUACUUAUGUUUCGUGGUUUUCAACAUUUAGUACAUCAAGUUUUUUUCAUCUCAGAUUCAUACCUAAAGUGUAAAUUUUGGGACAGUCUCAUACAUCCGUUAGUCAAACUGUUAAAUCUGCCGUUAAUUGUGACCUGGCGCCCAUGUGGACAAUGACUGGAUGCCACGUGUCAUCCACGUUUUUUUUUUCUUCUUUCUUCUUCCUUCGACUGCAACUUUUUUUUUUCUUCCUCCUUCUUCUUCCUUCCUCCUUCUUCCCCUUCUUCCUUCUUCCUUCUUCUUCCUUCUCCUUCUCCUUCUCCUUCUUCCUCCGAAUCUGGGGAAGUUUUUCUUCUUCUUCUUCUUCUUCUUUUUCUUCUUCCUCCGAAUCUGCCCAAAUUCAAUUUUUUUUUUCUUCUUUCUUCUUCUUCCUCAUUCUUCCUCUCCUUCUUCCUCCGACUGCAACUUUUUUUUUUCUUCUUCCUCCUUCUUCCCCUUCUUCUUCUUCCUCCUUCUUCUUCUUCUUCCUCAUUCUUCCCCUUCUUCUCCUUCUUCCUUCCUCCCUCUUCCUUCCCCUUCUUCUCCUUCUUCCUUCUUCUUCUUCUUCCUGCUCCGAAUCUGGGGAAGUUUUUUUUGCUUCUUCUUCUCCUCCUUCUUCUCCUUCUUCUUCUUCUUCUUCCUCCGAAUCUUCCGAAUCUGCCCAGAUUCAAUUUUUUUUCUUUUUUUUUAUUUCUUCUCUUCCUCCUUCUUCCUCCUUCUUCUUCCUUCUUCUUCUUCUUCUUCCUCUGACUGCAACUUUUUUUUUCUUUUUUCUUCCUCCUUCUCCUUCUUCCUUCUUCUUCCUUCUUCAUCUUCCUCAAAAAAAAAAAAAAAAAAUCCUUCAUCUUCCCCAGAUUUGGAGGAAGAAGAAGAAGAAGGAAGAAUGGGAUGGAAGAAGGAGAAGAAGGGGAAGGAAGAAGCGGGAAGGAAGAAGAAGGAAGAAAGAGGAAGGCAGAAGGAGAAGAAGGAGGAAGAAAAAAAAAAGUUGUAGUCGGAGGAAGAAGAAGGAAGAAGGAAGAAGAAGAAGAAGAAAAAUGAAAAAAAAAACAAGAAUCUGGGCAGAUUCGGAGGAAGAAGAAGAAGAAGAAGAAGAAGAAAGAAGAAGAAAGAAGAGGAAGAAGAAGAAGAAGAAGAAGAAGAAGGAAGAAGGGAAGAAGGAAAGAAGAAGAAAGAAGAAGAAUGAAGAAAAAAAAAAGUUGCAGUCGGAUGAAGAAGAAAGAAAAAAAAAACGUGGAAACGAAGCACCCAGAAUUCACAUGAAGCCACGUCAAAUUAACAGAAAAUUAACAUUUUGACUAAGACGAAGAAGAAGAAGAAGUCCCAAAAUUUACACUUUAGGUAAGAAGGAAGGAGAAAAGGAAGAAAGAAGUAAUGAAAUGAAAGACGAAAUGAAAGUAGUAAAAAGUUUUUUAUCCUAAAAAAAAAAAAGUAUUUGAUCGCCAAACCGUCUUAUGUAUCAAUGAGUGCGCCACGUCACAAUUAACAGGAAAAUUAACAUUUUGACUAAAUGUAAGACCCCAAAUUUACACUUUAGGUAUGAAUCUGAGACGAAAAAAACUUGAUGUACUAAAUGUUGAAAACCACGAAACAUGAAAGUAGUAAACAGUUUUUUAUCCUAAAAAAAUAAAAAGUAUUUGAUCGCCAAACCGUCUUAUAAGUAUAGAGUAUAAUUUAUGAAAGGCCACGCAUAGUUGGACACUCCCUAAGUCUAACCAUAGAGAAAAUGAAACGUAACUGAAACCGAUAGGUGUUGGCCUCCCUUUUUAGUAAAUUUUCUCUGCCUCAGCAGUCGGCAUCACAUGAGUGCCUUUUCAGAAACAAAAGGAGCCCCAAAUCCAACUAUCCUACCACCCGGCAAGUUCAUCAUCGUUUUUAAGUGGUAAAAAAUAUAUGAUAUUCAUUUAACUACUGAUGAAACGGAGAUGACUCUUUCUACAGGAUUACAUCAAUAUUCUACAGAUAAAUAUUGAGGAGACUUUUUCAAAAAUGAUUUUUCAUGAACUCUAUUUUACCUCAUGUCUUUGAUAUAAUAUUUUAUAAUGUUAUGAUGAAAAUUAACGUUAAGUUGGACGUAUCAGAAAAUAUCACUUUGAGAGUCUCCUUAGCAUUUCUCAUGUUCUACGUACAAGGAGUCUCUUUCCACGUAAAACUACAACUAGUGAUUGAGGACUUGCAGCCAAUUAUCAAUCCCAACAAUUAAAUAUAUUUAUAGGGUGGAAAACACUAAAUUUAUAUAACUAUAUAUAGUCAAAGAAAAUAAAGAAAGCAAGAUAGCAAUAAUCGAAGAGAAACCAAGUUGCUAAUGGAGGGUGAUUAGGCAUGACAAAUGCUUAUGCAGUGUGACGUAGGUUGAUGGAAGUAAUUCUAAACCCUAAGUCCUAAAUCAAUGUCACAUGUUGUCUAUAAUAUAUGAACUCAAAAUAUGAUAUCUUUAGCAUUUUUCAUCAAGAUUUAAUAGAAUUUACCGAACAGGUGGAGAUUUAAGAGAUGGCCGGAGGGCAAUCGACAAGAGGAGUUAUACAUGAGCCUAGCUCAAACAGUACUAGCUAAAAUACGUGGAGCAUUUCUAACAGUACUAGCUAAAUUUCUUUUAUUGAAACUAGACAUAUGACCCGCGUAUCAUCUGUCCAUAUCUAAACUAUUUAUUAAGGGAAGAGCCAUGUUAACUACUUUUCUAAAAUUCUUAUCAUGUAGUCAUUUUUCUAAUAUAUUUUUCGUUUAGGGAAUUGCUAUUAACACUCCAAAAAUCUCAUUCUACAUUCCAAACUUUCUAUAUUAAGAAAGAAAAAUACACUUAUGAGAAGUGCAGAAUAAGAUUUUUAGAAUGUCAAUAACACUUCCCUUUGCUUAUUAUAUAUAUUAGGGACAUUUCGUAUAGUUUUUUUUAUUAGGGCUAUCUAUAUCAAUUACUAAAAUUUUCACAAUAUCAAUAAGUUAUCUUAACUGUUUAGCAUAUGUACAUUGCUCAUAAUCCCAUAACUUCUGGUCAGAUUUUUUUUUUUUAAAACAAACUAUAUUAUUUAUACUAAGAAGGUGAUGGGUAGGCUAAGCCUGGACUACCAAUUAUAUUGUUCAAAUUCGUCUUUGGCGAUAAUUGAAUCUAAGACCUCUCACUUACAAAUGAAGAAUAAUACCAUUAAACCGUAGUACUAAGUGACUCCUUUUAGUUAGAUUUUCAUUAAAACAAAAAAUCCUUUGGUUAAUAAGAAAAAUUAGAAGAGAUCGACAAUUCAUAAUCCAAUAAUAAAAUAAUACUUUUGAAUUUGAAACAUACACCCCUUCCUUUUGAGGAUUAAAAAACCAAAACAAAAAACAAAAAAAAACAAAAAAUCAAAAGCCCAAAGGAGUAACAUACAAAGGGUUAGAUCUUUUCAAUGUAGUUUUAAUUACUAGCAACCUAAUUUUGCAGAAUUGGAGCAAAUGCCAAAUGGUUUUCCUUACCUAAUUACGUACCAAAUGUUUCAACUCAUAUGAUUUCUUGGUGAUCCUACCUACCAAUGCUUUGCACAAGGAUUAUUAUCAGCCACAAACUUUUACAUAACUAAUAAACAAUGAUUAAAUUAGAUUAAUCCAUUCAAUAUUGCUCUUUCAUUACUCAGGCCGGUCAGCACCGACCACCUUUUUUUAAAGCCCUCAAAGGCUCAAACGCCAUUUCUGUGCGGAGGUUGAAAUGUCAAGGGGAAAGGGACGUUCACAUUCAUGAGGAUUAUGCAUGGGGGCACUUGACCAACCACGUGUUGAAAAUACAUAAAUAAUUCGUGUUUAAUUGUUGUCGCAAAAUUGUCUUCCUAUGGGGGUGUAAACCAAAGGUCACGUAAAUAUCUUACUUUCCACUCCACUUGAGGAUUUGUCAAGCCAGAGGCUUGGGGACAUAAGUCAGUGACUUGGGGACACGUGCACCCUUUCAUUUCCUGACGUUUGUUUUGUUUUUCUUUCUCCCCAAAUGGAGUUUAUUCAGGCUUUUGAGCCCGUGACUCAGUCUUUUCUUCUGUUGUUUUUCUUCAUGAAAAAUUAUUUGGUGUUCCUGAAUAUAGAUUAUAAGGUUGAAUUCAUUCGAUUUUUAAAAAAGAUUACUAAUCUUUAACUUUUGAUGAAUCUUUCAUUAGUAAUCGUGAAUGAUCCUUAAUUUUUUUGAUCUUGAUUCCGUAGGAGUAAGUCAGAAAGAUUGAGAAAUAGAAUCAUCUGAUUUGAUUCAUUCUCAAUAACUAUAAUAUGAUAGAUAAAAUCAACGCUAGUAAGAAGUCCUAUUGAAGCCAAGAAAUAUGAGGCUGCAUUUUCUAAGCUAAUUAAAGUUUAGCAAAGUUAGGUCCUCUAACCCUAGGUUUUGCUUAAAAUCAGGAUUAUAUUGAGUAACCAUACUUAAGGAGCUUCAAUUUUCAAACACCAAGGAACAUAGAGAAAUAUAAAGAAAUGAAAAACAAGUCCCUAUGUGGUGACUUAGUUAAGUUACGCUCAUAUUUAAGUAUUCUAUGGCUUAUCUUUGAGUAAUCUUUCAUUUUAAUCCUUCCCCCAAAAUCUUCUUUUUAAAUUUAUCAUUUUCUCUAACUUUUCUACUCUUUAUUUGGUGGACUUCGCUACCACUUGCCCAUGUGUUAGCUUUUGUUCAACUUUGUCCAGUUAGGACUUUUUGUUGUUAUUAUCUGAUUCUUAUUCACUAUUAGUGGGAUUGUUGAAUAUUGAUUAUUUCUCUUAUAUGCCCAUUUGUCUACAAAUUCAUCGUGACUACUGACUAGAUGUGUUGAGUUAUAUGGCUGUGCAAUUUCGAUUCGUAGUGGUAGUCAUGACUUAUGCGCUUUGGUUUCCAACCUAUUUUUGGAUACCAAUCUAAUGUUCCAUAUUAACCACACGUUUUUCAUAUCCUCUCGUCGUUCUUGUUUUUAUCAUCUAACCUAACGCAAUGGACAGUCCACCCCUAAAUGAUAAGGUCAUUGCCCUUCACACACCCUUAAAUGUAGUUUUCGUUCUCACAAGAUGAUAUGAAAAACGUGGAACUGAAAGGUCAUGACCCACAUGCACGUUACCUGCAUGCACGGUGUACGUAUACUAUGCCCUACUAGGAGCAAGAUGAUAUGAGAAGGGGUCAGAUAAUAAGGCAACCUCUUUUGUAAGCAUCCUAUUCGUUAAGGGUUGAAAAAGCCUCUAAGAAAACUUUAUCUUGUAAAGUUAAUAGGAUUCUUUUUAAAGGAAGAACAAUCUAAAGGGCACGAUAACUGUUGAUGCUAAACAUUGCAUCAACUAGGUUAACGCUAUAAAAUUACACAAUCACAAAAAGUAACACGACCGGUUUGUCGCGGUCCACCCAACUCCAUUGGAGCAUCAGGCUACGUUUAUAAGUUAAUACACAACAUGUUAUAAUAUAUUUUGUGAAGAUUAUAUUACUUAUUGGUUUGAAUCCCACACAAGCAUUUCUCUUUUUGGCAUAUUUGUUAAGGAAACAAAAAUAUUCACAAAAGGCAUUAGCACGCACUAAAAUGAGUUGUCUUAACUUAUAGUAAAAAUUUGAUUUAAGAAAUCAAUUCAUGGUAAAUCUUUUUACGACGUUAGAUUGUGUGAGAUUUUAGUUUCAGUUUCACAUAUGAUCCUCAUAAUCUCAUGGUCGCUGUUCUCUAUGAGAACAUUUUUGUACAAGUGAUAUUGAGAGGAGAAAAAAAAUCAAAUCUUGAACUUUGGAUUAACCUCUUUUUGUAGUAGAUUGAUAGGGUUAGUAUGUCAAAAAGUUAGUCGUUACGGAGAGGAGAAUGUAUAGGCGUGAUUGUUUUCACCAUGCAGUAAAACGCCAUCUUCAAAUAGUGUAACCUAUAGAUUGGUAAAAUUACAAGAUACAAGCUCCUUGCUAAAGCUGAAUGGUAAAAAUUUAAGAUGGAUAAAAUAGAGUAAAUUGUCGAUUUGGUCCUUUAAUUAAAUUCCGAGUAAAAAUUUCAUCCAUAAACUAAGUCUUUAAACUCAUUAAAAACUACAGAGUUCAUCUUUACUAUAAGAAUAAAAGCUAUUCAAUUCAAAUUAUCAUUACUUGCACAUGAAAAUAAUUGGCAUGCACCGUUGGAAAAAUGAAUGAGCUCUCCACGUCUCUAUUAGGCUUUUAAUGUGGCAUUCGAAGUGGACUUAGGCCCAGUCCAAUUGGCUGGGCUAGCCAUUCCAACAAUGAGUCUAGAGACAUUGAUUUCCACGGUAACAUCGCCAAAUUUCCAAUGACCAAAUUUCCAUCACCGAAAGCAAAGAACCAAAGAAACUGAAGGCAUGUUUGGUAUUCAAUUUGUAUUUUUAACUUAAAAACAGUUUUUGAGUUUCAAGCUAAGAAUCUUUAUUUGGUAAAACUAUUUUUAGAAAUUGAGCUCAAAACCAAUUUGAAAAACUGCAUAUAUUAAAAACACAAAAAGUUAGAGUUUAUUUGGUACUCUACUUGAAUCCAACUUUUUAAAUUCAAAAAUAAUUUUCAAGUUUUAGGCCUUAAAAACUUGUUUGGUAAGACUAUUUUCAAAAACUAAAUUCAAUACUAACUAAAAAAAUAUAGUCUAUUCUUUAAAAACAUAAAAAGUGACUUUUUAAAGUUUUUAAACUUAAAUUCUCAUUUCUUUUCUCUCCCUCCUCCUCUCUCACUCCAAAUCUAUCUCUCUUUUCUUAUUUCUCUUUCCUUUUUUUUUUACCAUUUUUGGCUCUCCUCCAAUCCAUUUUCUUCAUUCUCUCGGUUCUUUUUCUUACUCCUCUUCCUAUCUAUCUCGUCUGAUCCUCUCCAUUCUUUAUCUUUCCUUCAAUUAUCUCUUACUUUCUUUUCUACACUCUCCUCUUUCUCCCUCUCAUAAGAUUUAAAAAUUUUAAAUCACAAACCAAACAAGUUUUUGAGUCUUAAAGAAAAUUGUUUUCAAGAAAUGUUGUUAAAAAAUGUUUUGAGAAAUAAUAAAAAAUUUCAAAUAUGAUACCAUAUAGCCCUUAGUUUUUCAGAGUUUUCAAGCUCAACACUCUCCACUCUCUCUCUCUCCUCUCUUCCUCCUCUGUCCCGAUCUCUUCUCUUUCAUCUCUCUCUACUCUAAUACCAUAUCCUAUCUCUCCCCUCUUUCUCUCUCCUCUCUCUACUCUCACGACAGAUCCUCUCUUUCUUACCUCCGUCAGCGCCACCAAUGAAUUGAUGGGUGAAUUUUUUUUCUUUUUAAAAAAAAUGUGAAUAUAAAAACAAUUUUAAAUUUUAUACCAAAUAAGUUUUGAGUCUUAUUAAAAAUUGUUCUUAAAAAUGGUCAAAAGAAGUAUUUUUUAAAAUGAUGAAAUUUUUUAGUAGGAUACCAAACAGGCCUUAACUACUUUUUUCGGAGAAAAAAAGACCCUUAACUACUAAUGCUAUGAUUAAGGAAACCAUUUAAUAUUGCUUAAAAAUAAAUUAAUAAAAGCACUUAACCAAAUUAAGGCUGCAGUUUUGAAGAAAACCUAAAGAGACUCCACCAAUGACACAAUGUUAUUGUGCCAGCAGUUAAUGGGCUAGUUGAGCACCUUCUUAUGUAGGCCCAAUGUGAGAUUUGCUAUUUUAAAAACCAAACACAAACAUUUUGUUUGCAAAUGCAAGUCAUGUAACUUAAUGAAUAUUUUCUAGUGCACAUUGAAGUUAUACAUUUGAUAGAUUCUCUAAGGUUAAAUGAUCUAACGGCCUUUAUUUAGACGUAUAACUUAAAUGUGUAUUUUUGAUGUGCAUUAAAAAAGUCUCAUUUUGUCUGAUUCUUCUUCCCGUUCUAUUGUAUUAUGGUGCCCAAGUUAGAGCUUGGAGCCCAAUUUUGCAAAUGUUGGAUUUUGUUGUUUCCAAGCUUACGUCUCAUGGGCUUCUCUUCAAUUCUUCCAGUCAUUUAUUCUACAUUAUAAACAAAACUUACUGACAUACUAUUAGGGUGGUGGAUUCCAUGACAUUAAUUUUUGUGAUUAUAUAAUUAUUAAUUGAUCGUAGGUACAAAAUAUAUAUGUCUACACAUAUAACUAUUCAAAUUGAAAUAGUAAUCUUAAGUAACAAACAAAAAACUUCAUUUUGUCAUCAAUCAAAGAUUAGGUGGUAUAGAACACCAAUGAUUGAUAGGGAAAACAAAUUAAUUCAUAACGAUUUAAACAUGGUUGUUAAAAUCUUUGAAGUGCGGUAUAACGAUGUUGAUGAUUAAUGCCACGCACAUGACUACUGGAUAUUAAUUUUUAUGUCGAUCCAACUUGGAUAAGACAGAAGCUGGGAAAAAAGAUGUUCGUGAAAGUUGGCUGGGCAAGUUUUGCUAGAAAUGGGACCAAUUAGUGAUGCCGAUCAGUCUUCGUCCACCUUUCCAACAUCAAGAAAAAGAUAUGCAGUGGGGACGACUGAGAGAGAUAUUAGUAAAUAAGAGAAGCUGCCAUUUGCCACUAGCUUCAAAUGGUUCAUGUAUCAUCUCUUGUGGUUAUCUGUUUAUAUGGCCAGAUCUUCUAGUGGAGGUCCUGUUUGGAUUAAUAUUUGAAUAUUGUGCUUAGUAGAAGGGAAGCCCAAAGGCACUAAAUCAAGUCACAUUUGCCCGAAGCCUAACCUUGAAGCCUGAGUGCCGGUUCAAAGACUUCUAAACCAAGACACAAGCCACGUGUCUAUAAUGGAAGUGACAAGUGAUGGAGACUAACCUACUAUCAGCCAAAAAACACUUUUUAGUGGCACUUCAAGUAAAACGAUGAUGACUCACUACCCCCCAAAAGCUUUUGGGCAAGAGUAGAACUAAGGGCAGUCAAGCCAAACUGCCUAUAAAAAAAGCUGAAUCAACCCAGAUUUAGUCAUUUUAGCAAUAGUUUCCUUAGAAAAGCUAUCUUUUGUCUAGUAUAAAAGCUCUGCUACCUCCCUUAGUGUUGUAGUAUCGAUUCCCUCGUGUAAACCUGUUUACCACCAUCCCUUUUUAGUGUACAACCCCUAUAAAUUCAAAGAGAAGUGGCUGCAAGAGGUUCAACCUUGCCAAACAAGGUGAAAUCUUGCCUGAGUCUCUUUGUUUGUCCUCUAAAUUAGUAGAUUUGUUGUUUAAUGCACUAUUUAGCAUGUAUUCAAGUCAUUUCCGCUUGUCUUCUAUUUUAAGAGUCUCAUUUGCAUCUGAAUCUGGUUAACUUAAUAGAUUUGUUUUCAUUCAGAGCAACUUGGAAUCAAACAAGUGACUUAAAGGGCUCUAGAUUCCCUCCAUUCGAACAUACAAGAUCAUGAACUAAAAGACCUUGUUUACAAGGCAAGAAAAAGAACUUAAUGCAGACUUAACCCAUCUCCGACAAUCCUUUGAUAACAAGAAGUUUGAGUAACUGGGGGCGCAAGUAAUCACUUAAAACACACUUGUUUUGCAUCUGCUAUAUUGCGAUAGUAGUGGCAUGCCUAGCACUUUGUUAAUUUUGAUUGCGAGCCUCAAAGCCUAUACCUAAGGCCCUACAAAGGCACCUUUCAAAAUUAACUUUAUACUCUUCUUGUAGAACACCAACAAGCAAAAGCCUGACUACUAAACAUCAAAGUGCCAAUCCUUGGGGAGCUGUGCUGAGGUCUAGAGACCUUCUCCAGAGAAAUAUUUGCCCAAAUAGACCCCAUCGGUACAAUGUAACAAUUGGGAGGCAAUAGGAGUCAUGGGAUGAUGACGGUGGUUGUGGUGGUAGUGAGGCGUUGCUAUUUCAUAUUUGCAUGUGAAUUACAUCAAUGGGAAACUGACCAUGAUGACAGGACCACCCUCAAACCCUCAUCUCAAAAGACAUAAAAUAGGGUACAAGUUGGGGGAAGUGAGAACAAAUUGAAAAGGUUGUACUAAACUUCGGAGUAUGACAUGAAUAUGAUGUAUGAGAUGUGUAGUCAGGAAUCAACUAGUCAUAAAUGGCAUUAUAUAGUAUACGGUUGCAUACUAAAAAAAAACUAAAUCAUAGCAGUUAACAUUUACAUGUACUGCGUUUGUUGAUCAUAUUGACGAUUAUAAUAGCUUUGAUGGAGAUAAAACUGGCUCAUAUAAGCGACUUUCACACAAAUGUACUCUUUAUGCAAGAUGCGAUUAGUAAGUGUACUAAGUUUAGUUUUACAUUUUAUUCUACUCUGUGAUUAGUGUACGUUAGUUCUCAACUUCUCAUUUUCCUUUUCCUCCAAGUGAGCUUUUCAGGAACUUGAAAAGAUGACAAUGAACUCCACCCACUUGGUGGAAUAUAAUGCUAUUAUCCCAUGCAUGUCGGAGAAAGCAGAAAUCCUUUCUUGCUGGAAAGGGGAAUGGAAUUUUGAUCAAUUAUUUUAUAGAUUAUAAUGAUGAUGGGAGACAAAUGUCAAUUAUGCACGUCCACAUGUAAGUAAUUGUUAUAUAAUAUUGUACUUCUAACUAGAACUGCACUAGUUAGUCUAAGUACCAGAACCCUAAUCCUUAAAUCCUAAUAGGCGUUUACGCUGCAGAUGUACGUAGUUUCCCGUUGCUGAUGAGUGCAAGUGAUUGAUGGCAUUGCAUGAGCCAAAAUGAACCCACCAUAUAUAAGAUGUACCAAAGCGUAAGUUAAUCGGCCAUCGAUGCAUGCGAAGCCCACAUCGCAUAAAUAAUACGACGAUUGUUAUCCAUUUAAGUAGGUAACUACACUUAACAUAUUUCUUCAAAAUACUAAACACAUACUACUUUGUGGUAAUGUUCUAAAAAUCGACCAAGAUAGCUUCUAGACAUAGGCAAUGACCAGCCUCAAUUAGGGCCUAGGUGUAGGCGAUAUGCAACCGCAUUUCUGGCCAUCCCACUAAGGAGACAAUAACUUUGUGGUGGCUGUCGACUUGAAUCCAAAAUGCUAAAAAUGCAGAAGCACAAAGUUGUAUAAUUGACACUAUGACAAGUGUCCAAUUCAAAUCUCUCAAACAUAGAAGGCAAUUAACUUGGAUCCCAAGUCAAAUAAUGCAAUAAAAGGAUAAGUCGUGCAAGCCAAGUGCAUGAUCCUGGAGUUUGAUGACUAUGUAACAUGAAAGUUUACAGAUAAAAAGGUAGCCAAUAUCAGCCGGAAGUAGUUGUGUCACACUAAUUGUGAAUUGAAAUGCAUAGUACCAAUUAAAUUCUUUUUAUUUUUUGGUUGUAUUUAACUUUUAGUUUAAAUUGUUUACGUAGGGAUCAAACUAUUUGGAUUCCACCAAUUAUUUAUUAUUUUCUUAAUCCCUGAUCUAUUACUGACUUCAUCAACAUCCAACCAUAUCUUUAAAUUGUACCAUCACAAUUUCAAUUAAAUUACUUUUUGCAUGAAUACAUCUUAUUAAGUAGUAUAACUCAAUCUGCUCAAAUAUCUGUCUUAAGGUUCCAACUAAAUAAAAGUAUACGUUAUAGUGACAACUCAACCAACAUGCAACAUGAAUUAGAGCUCCAGCAGCCACAAAGAUUCAAGAAUUUACCUUGGUUGCUUCAAUGUAUCCUCAAUCUCCAAAUUACGUCUCCACUAAUUACAAUUAACUCAAAUCUAGCUCUGUAGAUAGGGGCGGAUGCAUUAAGGGGCAGAGGAGUUAGCUGACCCCUCGAACUUAAGUGAAUAUUCAGGGAUAACUUGAGUACUGACCCUUUGAACUUCGGUGAAUGUCUAUAGAUGACUUGGGUGUUGCCCUUUAAAGGUUGGAGUUGCCCUUCAUAUAUGCCUUUCAACUACUUGAUAAAAUGCAUUAGAGAGGUGUUGCUCCUUUAUAGUCUACUCCUAAUAUUAUUUACCUCUGGCUUGUUUGUUGGUUGUGAUUACAAUGGUAGGCAGAAAGAAAGAACCAAGUAAAAAACUAUCCAAAAAUGCAAGGUAAAUGAAAUGGUGAUCUCAGAGACUAACAAAACAUCAUCAUUCUUGGACAAACAUAUUAAUGAGAUGCAAUAAUAUCAAACAUUGUUAGUGUGUUCAAGAUAAGUGUGUUUCUUUGUUAAGCAUUGACAUGGGAGCAGCCUUGGAACAUGUUAGUUGCCCACGUAAAUGAGGCAUUAACAGGUGUAUAGUAUGUCUUUUCCAAAUGACUUCAGACCUACCAAGACUCGAUGAAAUGACGAUAUACAUGUUAUUUCUGUUAAAAAAAAAUUACACGCUGCCCGUACUAUUCUUAUUAACCCCCCUAAUAUUAUUUCUUGGACCGCCACUGUCUGAAGAGCACCCUCAUCCGACCGCACCAGGGCUGUUCGUUGGUGCUUCGGAAGCCAGAAUCAAGGGCUCUAAGGAAAGAAAGCUAAAGAUGAGAGAGAGGGCUGACCCCCAAGAAGGAUGGAAUAGCACCCCCAAGAGGAAAAUAAGGCCCCGAAUUCUCCAGCUUCCCUUCCUUUUCUCUCAUUUUUUGUAUUUUUUUUUCUCCACCUUUUUACCCUCCUUUCUAGAGCAUCUAGCUCUCUCCUUUCAUUUUGUUUUUAUUUUUUUUAUUAUAAAUUUUGGUUCCACAUGAGUAUCCAGAAACCAUAACUUAAAAUCAAAAUGGCACUUUGGUAAAUCUUCCAACAAUGAAGGUUAAAAUAAUCACUUUGAUCAUAAAUUGAAUUACAAAGUCUAAAUGGUAAUCGUGUCAUUGUCGAGUCAAAUAAUUAAAGGGUAUCACAAGUUGGCUUUGGUUGUAUUUUGAUUCCAAGACCGCUGUAAUUGACUAAGAGACCAAGAUAUAUAAAGCUUGAGAUAGGUUAUUGAUGCUCAACUUUGAAAACAACAUGCAAUAAUUUCACAAGAGAGAAUCGAACUCAGGAUUUCGGAGUGCAAAUGUUGAAUGCUCUUUAUGAACUGAGCAACAAGUCUCUUGAAACAUAUUAUAAUUAGCAUGUGUUCGAACUAGGGAUGGACAACGGUUAUGGCUGACGAGUAACCGCAGUUAUUUAUCCAUAACCGUUUAUUCUCAUACCCGUAUAACCGUUUAUCCGUUGAGUAAUUGUCUAACAGUUAUACCCAUACCCAUAACCGUUUAUAAAUGGUUAACCAUACCCAUAAUCGUGUACCUAUUUAACCGUAACCGUUUAGUACCCGUUUACCCAUUUAUCAUUUUUAAACUCGUUUAUCCUUUCUUUUUUACCAUUUACUCAUUUUUCACCCGUCUACGUGUUUUUUAACAACUUGAAAAUUAAAAAAGAAAAAUUUGUCAUAAUUUUCUUUUUCUAACAAUUAAACACUAUUAUAGGUACAUUUAUCAUACAUUUCCGCAUUUUAAUUUUUUAAGUCCUUGUACCAUUCCAAUAAUUGAAAUAAUAUUUUACAGACAAUAUUUUUAACUGUUAGCAAUGAAGAUAAUAUAAAAUUUGCUAAGUAUUCUUGGGUUACGAAAACUGUUGAAAGACAGUAUUCUUGGAUUAUUUAACUUGGAAUGUAAAAUAUUAACAUAAUAUAUAUAAUGGACCAUGCAAUUUAAAGUGGUUCAGGAAAGUUAUAUUAUAUUAGCUAUAGAAGUCAUGCACUAUAGUCAAUAGCAUUGAUCUAGGUUUUGUCUGAUAAAGAACCAUGGUUUGUGUUAAUUUUACAUAUAUAAAAUAAAUGGGUAAAUGGUUACCCGUUUAUAACCGCGAUUAAUACUUAUAACCUCUCAUUUAAAUUUUACGGGUAAACGGUUAUACCCAUAACCGUUUAUUUAUCUAAACGGUUACCCAUAACCGUAACCAUAAAAUUUAAAUGGACGGGUAAGGUUACCCAUAACCGAUGGGUAUUUGUCCAACUGUAAGUACAACAUUGAAUUUACCAAAAAACAAAAUUUAAAGGUAAGAACAAAGAAAAGCUUAUGUGAUCAUUCAACUUUAUUUAUUUAUUCAUUUGAGUUUUCCAGUUUCUCCAUAUAUCUGCAGCGACAGACAAGCUCCUCACAGGCAAAGCAUAAGCAUAACGGCGCAAACAAAGAAAACACUUGAAGAAACAUAUAUCAGUUUCCAUUAAAAUUUUGAGGCAUCCUUUAACAAGAGGAACAUCGAUGAGCAGCAAUAAUAUGCCCGUGUUUAUACAUUUUUAUGGGGCAUGAAAUACUAUCUUCCUUUCUUCCCAGAGUAAAAAAAACUCAACUCAGAAAGCUACACAACUAGUCUUGUGUCCGCUUGUAAGGUUUCAGAACCAGUUUAAUGCCGGAUUGAGAUGUUUGAACUCUUGCAGUAGUUGUUCAUUGGCAUACACAUACGAGAGUGACUCUUCGAAUUAUCUAAAUGGUAAGAUCAUGCGAUCUGCGUGAGCAAAAAAUGUUCCAAUAUAAUUCAACAACUUCUGCCACCAAUUAUAUGAUCUUGUUUUAUAAGCCAGCUAGGGCCGGGGGACCAUAUAUAGAGAUGAGAUAAGUAUGCAUCCUCUCUCAUUAACCUGUUAACAUCAGAAAAAAGCAGUGUGUCCACUGAAAUUAGUAUGACAGUGACACUUAUGGCAUCAAUGAUUCAACCAACCAAACUACUUUUAACAUAUUAUCAGUAAAAAUGAAGAGCUAGAAGAAGAAUUCAAUUCAGUGAGACGCGCCCAUGUGUUUCUGAACAGAUUUGUCCAUCGGUAAUGGAGAUCACAUUGGUUGGAAUAUAGGCCGAUACGUCUCCAACUUGUGUUCAAUGACAGGUAAGGCGGUUAAGCUACCUGCAUCUGUCUGGUCGAUUGUUUAGCGGACGGGAAUGCAAAUAGAAAACAUCGCCUGGGGUGUAAAGGUUUUUUUUUUUUUUUAAAUCUCAGCAAUUAGUGUGAAACCAUUAAUUAUAUAUUGUAAUUUAUUUUGUCAAGUCUCCGACGUGAGAUUCUUACAUUCUUCAACAGAUAUGAGCUGCUAUACUGCGCAACAAGAAUAUAUGCGGCCAACCCCUUUAGAGAGAAGUAACAAGUUUGUGACCAUUCACUUUCUUGAGAGAUGGCAAUGAAGAUAAGGUGGGAAAUGAACACAAAAAAUUAAACCGAAUUCACCACACAGCCCCUGAUUUUGACAGCCACUUGCUAGGGUUCACAGAACUUAUUUAAACAAAUUAUUCCUUUUAAGUUUGAAAAAGAAGUUAUGCAUGCUUCUUGUAUAAAAAGUGAUUAUACGUUAAGUGCUUUUAAGUGACUUACUCAUUUUUCCACUUAAAGGGUCAUUAGUUGCAGCUCUUCCACCGAAAGGUCCACUGCUGAGACCAUUUGGUGCCAUCAUCUGAUUCUGUUGUAGAGGUUGGGAGCCAAAUCUGAACAUAUUCAUUGGCUACACAAAAAUUUCAAUAUGAUAGAAAUGAAAAUCGUUUGAGUUAGAUAAUUAACGACAACAAAUUUUUUAGUCUAACAAGACACCGAUGACUAAUAAUUUACUCAAGACUAAGAAGACAAACCUGAGACAUAGUCUGCAUGUGAUGGAAGUUCAUGAGACGCAUGUAUUGUUCCUGAAAAGAGGGAUUUUGCAUCUGGUUGUGGUAAUCAAUGGGAUUCAAGACCGGUGGUUGGCACAUUACAGUCUGGUUUGCUGCUGGAGCCAUAUUCAUGCACUGAUCAACGAGCGGAUGCCUAGGUAAAUGCAUCGGAUUGUGCAUAGAAGGCAAGGCCGGCGGUCCCAUUCCCAUUCCCAUUCCCAUUCCCAUUCGGGAAAUAUAGUGCUGCAUGCCCGGAAACAUCAUUGGUGCCAUCCCGCUUCCCAUCCACAUUACCUGAAUCAACAAGAAAAAUUGUUAGUAGCUUGAGCUACGUACAAACAAUAUAGGACCAAUUUCGGUUUUAUGAGGGGACGUUGUACCUGCAGUUGCAUCUGAAGUGACUUCAAGUAAUCAAUUGCCUCAUCUAACAUUGAUGCUUUAUCUGUCUGAAAAAUCAAGGAUCAAAUCAGUAAAAGAUAUUUAUAACUAGAUAAUAAUUAGAAACAAUUAAAGGGGUUGUAAGAAAGUAAAUUCACCUUGUUAGAAUGAGGUAUAAGCUCUUGCAAUGCUCUCAUUUUCUCGUUAAUCCGAUCUCUCCGUUUCUGCACAAAUGGACAAGUUAUUAGAAAGAAACAAAAAGUGACAAAUUCCGAAACUUUGUAAUGCUAGGAAACUUAAAAAAUUCUACCCUUUCUGAGAGGUUAUGGACUUCAGCAGCACGACUCCUCCUGGUCGAUCCUGAUCGAUGCGCUGACUUACUUCUCGCAGCUGAAGCUGAUUCAAGUUCAGCAGCCUAAAACAUAAGUAAAAUCCUAUUAAUCGCGGCAAAAAUCAUUAUUACAAGUCAUGUGUUGGAAAGAGGGUUUUAAUUAAGUUUUUACCUCACUUUGGCACUCCGAGUCUUCUGCCUCUCUACCCUUUCUCUUGUUGCUAUUGACAACAUUAGACUGGUUUCCUCCUCUGCCAAAACUACUACCAGAACCGCCAGAAGACGAAGUAAGCGUUGGAUCAAGCGUAUCCGUUUUCCCUGUCUCGCUCUGAGGCAUUAUCUUAUGAACGUUGUCGUAGAAAUGUCCAGCCGAUAAACCAGUAGUUCCAUCACAAUUGCUUGAAGCCCUGCUCACAUCAAGGUCAUUUAGAACUUGGUUGCUACCAACGUAACUCGAACCAACCGUCAUCACAGAACACUCCCUAACCUCCGCUUGCGCUAAAUUUCCGGACUCUUUCCCUCCUAACUGUCCUCUAGAAGAUCCUGCUGAAACCUUUCCCGGGGUUGCAAAUUGCGAAAAAUUAACUAUUUUCCCCAAGCCUCCUUGAUUUUGGUUCUGCUGAUCAGUUGAAUUAAUGUAUUGAUAUCUUGGAGGAGGCAUUGGAUUUGCAGGGUAUUCCACACCAGCGGAGGACUUGCCAUUAGGCCGCGGUGAGUUGGAAACAAGACGCGCGGUGUCAGAAGCAUCAAACUUCACAACCUUCUCUCCCUCAAACUGUUUGAUUGGUUUGUCAAGCUCAAUUGGAUCACAGGAAGGCAAUUCAGAGAAAAAAUGGGAACAAAACUCUUUGUCGAAAGAAUCCUCAAGCGGGUAGUGGAUAAGUGAAACGGUGUCAUCAUCUUGAAUCAGAUUACUUGAAUUCCCAUACAACCCCCCAGACCUUAUUGAUUGCUGAUCAUGUUUCUGAACUUGUCUCGAUUGAUCAUUCGGAUUAAAACUUGGUUUUCGAUGCGUUUGGCUGUUCAAAACUACUUGCCCAUUUCUCCACAAGAGCUCUACAAGUUCAUGGUCUGGCCUGUAAAAUAUUUCCCCCCAAUCAAGAUAGCUCAACAUGGAAGGCGAAAACUUUGAGAAUAAGUAAAGAGAAUACAGACCCUAUUGGUUUCUUCUGGUUGGUCAAGGGGAGAUCAGACUCAAAGUUCCACUCGGGAAUGCAAGAAUUCAUGUCUCUGAGCAGACAGAAAUUGCUGCAAAACAAAGAAAGAAGACAGAUUUAGAGAUGAUUGCAAAUGAUUAAUACUACUAUAAUUAAAAAAAUGCUGCAUACUAAAAAUGGAACCAAUCCUAAGUCCUAACCCCAAAUAUAUAACUACAAAAUUUAAUAUCAUGUUUACUAGACCACAUAAAGUUUGUGGAUUAAAAAAUUCAGAACCCAAAUCAGACUCUUCAUCAUUAAAGUAUUGAUUAACAUAAAAAAUCAUUAAAAAUUGAGAAUAAAAUAAUCCCUACCAUAAAAAUAGGCAAAAGAUGGAGAAACUUCAACAGGAAAGUUGCAGUUGGAAAUAGAGACAUCAUUCACCACUUAAAGGAAAAUAUUAUUAAGAAAAAUAAGAUAAGAAAGAAUAAAGAAGAUUAUGACAUGAAAUUUUUUCUGCUUUUCUACAAAAGUAGAAGCCCAAAAAGCAAAAAGGAAUUCUUUUAUUGCAUAGAGCAAUACAAACCCAGAAGGGAAAUGAGAAAUAAAAGAAAACCCAAAGCAGAAAAUUAAAUAGAAAAGCACCCCUGAUCAAAAGCACGGCUCUUGAACUGGAAACUGAAGGCUUACAGUACAAGCUCUAAACUGCUGUUGUCAAAAGCACUUCUUUUUCUCUCUACCCCUCUCUUUGUGGUUGUGAGGUGAGCUUGGAGGGCAACAGGAAACUGGGAAACCGACCAAAUUAAUGAGACUUUUACAGCAGUUAGAGUUAAGACAGGGGCUUGUUGUCAGUGAGAGCAAGGAUUGGCUAGUGACACAGAGAGCUACGUAUUUCUACAGAAACCCAUGCCAUCAGGCCACGUGGCAGUUACCCAGUUGUGCUAUGCUGAAAACUUGUGGCUAGGUCAGUUACUUGUAGAAUGCAGGAUGGUUUGGAAAAUGGAUGACUGGGAUUGGUUAUUUGAAGGCAGCCAAAAUCUAGAACUUGAAGGGCAAUCGAUCUGUGAUAUGAUAAUGUGUAAGGGUGGUGCCACGUGUGCAUUGGCAAUAAUAUUUUAUUGGACAAUGAUGAGGGACAAGAUUGUCAGAGGCAAAGUUUUUGUUGACAGCUUGGCCUAAGUUGGCAAAUUUUUAGAUUGCUGGAUGAUGCAAUUGCAAAUCUGCACUUAUCUUAUUCUUAUCUCCAUAGAAGUUAGAAGCAAGGAAAAAUAAAACCUACAAAGUCAACUUUUUUCUAUUUUUUUUAAAUCAGUUUCAGCUUUGAGUUCCAUCUAAGAGUUCGAAAAAGAAUUAGUCAAACGAUAUAUGGGUCUGGUAUAAGGCCAAUUUUUUAAUAUAAUCACGUGAAGAGUAUUAUAGAAAUAUAUGAUAUCGGUUUGCAUGGUACAAUAUCUGUGUAAGAGGAGGAAAGGUGUACUGAGAAGAAUAAAAUUAAAGAUGGUAUACCUUGAAGUUUGUCUGUAUAAGCACCCCCCAACCCCCAAUAUAUGUAAUCAAGAAUUUAGAUUCGUUAGUCAUUUUCUAAGUCACCCAUCACGUGAAUUGUCAUAAGUACAUACAUAAUAAGUGAUAUAGAGUGAUGAGGAAUCAGAAAUAUAUCACUGAUUGCACCAAAGUUUUUCUGCCUUGGAAGCCAGCAAUUGCCAUAAAUAUUGGAGGCAGCAGACCUAUUGAUCCAAGCCAAAAUUUUAUGGAGGAUGGUGGCCAGUCGAAUCUGCUAACAGAUCAUGUUUUAUAUUUUCAUGUGAAUCAACACAAGGAAAAACAGAUUUCCACUUUAAAAACCUCAGCUAAGGGCAAGGUCCAAGUCUUUGGAGAAAACUGUUGGAUUUUGGAGCAAAAUCUUGUAGCUAAUGUUCGCUUUCAUUUGUAGGUAGUGCUUGUUGGCUAGAAUUUUGUGUAUGUAAGUUUAUGCACAAGGCUACUAAGUACUAGCUCACAAAGGAGGUAGACACAGUUUUUUUUUUUUUUUUUAAAUGAGUAGACACGUGUCAUGUUUACUUAUAGAAAACAGAAAUUAAAAUAAUUUCGAUUAUUGACUACCAUCUACUACUUGGAAUUUUAGGAAUCAGAUCAACUGGAGGGACUAAUUGAUUUCCUUCCCCUUCCUUCUUUCUUGGCCCUAAUUCAUUACUUCCCAUUUUUAAGUACGUAAAAAACAUGCUACUAAUGAAACACAGUUUGACUUUUUAAAUGUAAGGAGUCACUCAUCCAAUUUACAAAAAAAAAAAAAAAUACUUGAACACACAUAACAUUGUGUGGAAUGUAAAAAGUAAUGCUCCCUUACAAGUAAUGAGUAAUGGUCUCAUAGAGACUAUUAGGGUGUGUUUGUUUGACCGGAUUAGGGGGGACUGGACUAGACUAGAUUAAUUGUUUGUCCAGUCUUAUGUUUGUUGUCCACAUUGGACUAGUUUUAAUGGGACUAACGGGGACUCGCCCCGACUGAACGCUUCAUUAAACAUUCUUAGCGAGACCCCUCAAUUUCAAGUGGACUGCUAAUCCCGUUCUUUCCCCUGCCAUUGAUCCCUCGAUGUCUCCCUUCUCCUUUGCUGCUUUGCCCUCUCCCUUCUCCUUCGCACCUUCGCCACUCCCUUCUCCUUCGCACCUUCGUCCACUCCCUUGGGCCUUUACUAUCCCACCCAAAAGCCUAAACCCAGACCUCAAACAAAAAUUGAAAAACAAUCCACUGAUUCCCUUUCUUUCUUCUUCAUUCAAUUCACUCUCUCCUUCUCUCUCAGCAAAAUCGCCAUGGUUGCAACCACCAGACGACCAUCACCAGAAGCUCGAUGUCGAUCUCCGCAUUCGCGCGCGACCCAGACGCAAGUCGGGACCGAAAGCGUACCAAAUGCUCAAGCACCUGCGAAUCCCCACACAAAUUCAAAACAAAAAGGAAAAAUCACUACAGAACCCCGAGAUUUUCCGAGAAAUUCAGAGGAGGCGCUGGGUGGAGAGCUCCGAUGAAUCCUCCGCGUGAAUCUUCUGCAUAAGGAAAAGAGGGAGAAGUUAGGGAUAAGUGGACGGAGGAAAAAAGGGAGACGGGGGGGGGGGGAGACAGUAGCCGGAAGAAAAUAGGGAGAAGUAUGGAGAGAGAGGAAGAAUAUUCUGGAAAAAUGGUGAAACAUAAUAAAAAGAGGGAGAUGAGAGGGAGAAUGGCGGAGGAAAAGAUGAAUAGGCUACAGAGAGAUAAUUUUAAGAAAAAAUUAAAAAAAGAUUUUGGCCUUCACGGAAGGAAUAUGAUUCUAGAAACAAAUAAAAUGAUAAAUUAAUAAAUAUAGAUAAAAUAAAAUAAUAUUUGAGUUAGAUAAUUAUUCAGCUUCUUAGUCCAACAUUGCACCAAACGCUUCACUAAGUUAGUCCAGUUUAAUUUAGUCUAAGUAAGUCCAGCUUAAUCCCUGAAGCUAGUCAAGUUCGAAAUAAUCCGAUGCGACAAACGCACUCUUAUUGUCCGACUUGUACGUAAGAAGCCAAUUAUUUUCUGACUCCAUCGAUUAAGGAUCCAAAGUUUAUGAACUUGACAUUCAUGUCACUUUGUUCUCAGAGGCCUGCUGCUGUCCAUCUAUGAACCUGCAGGCUAUGAUGUUUUCAGUACAGGAGUAGCAGGCCUAUCAUUUAGCUGCUACUUUAAUAUCAAGUUAGAACCUUCCUUCCACUCUCAUUUUUUUUUUCUCAAUGUAAAGAAGUUCAUAAGAGGUCGCACUUGGUGCGAUGGCAAGUGCCUUCGCCCAUGAAAUGUUGACCUAAUUUAAUUAUGACCGUUUAAACAAAAAUAUAUUGGAGAUGAGAAAAAUUUGGAAGGGAGAGAAUCCUACUUCAUUUAAGAGAAAGGCUAGUUAAUGCGUACUGUACCUAUAUGCUUUUUUUCUUCAUCGUCCAAGUUAUAUGUUUGAGAUCUUGGAUUUGUUUUUCCAUUUACAAGCAAAUGUCUUUAGUUAAGUAUUUAUACGAUAGUGUUUCAACUUAUUGUUAAAGUCAAACUACAUUAUUUUCUUCCUUGUAAGUCAUAACUACUCGUAUCGGAAGACGAAAAACAGAGAACUGUCGUUAGAUGUUUGUUCUCCGCCCGUAUCGUGUCCAUCUGAACAAACACUUACGAACUUGUUCUAAGACCACAAUGACAGUGUAUGACUACGAUUACUAGUUACAUCAAUGGUCAGCCUGCAAUCACUUUUAAAUUAGAUAUGUCAAAUUUGCAUUAGAUGUGAAGAUGCGUAUACAUAUUUCUUGUAUAGAAGAACUUACAGCCCAGAUGCUUGUAUAAGAAUUUAUAAUUUUUCAACAGGGAAACCAGUAACAGGUUUUAUCUUUGUAGCCAAAGCGCGCAAUUCGGCUACUUCUUCACUGUUGAGCCUCCAUCCAAGGGCACCUGCGAAUUCUGCAGCCUGUUCUCCGUUUUUGGCUCCCGGGAUUGGCACAACGUUGUCCUGGGCUAUCAGCCAGUUUAGGACUACCUGUUAACAGGAACCCGACUCGCAUUAAACCCCAACACCUAUUUCUACAUUUCAGAAUUCUUGCCUGAUAUAUCAAUAUGUGGUUUUAUGAUCUUAUAUGGAGAACAUGAAACUACCAAGAGUUGGACCACAUGUAUAUAAAACAGUGAAACAAAGAGCUGCUUUCAGCAUGAACUGGAAGUUGCAACAGUAUCUAUGAUGCGUUUGAUACUCGUAUUCAAGGGUCCAAAAUGAAUGAACUGCUUAAAUACAGAUCUUUUGGGGAUAAUUUUUCAGCCAUGCUUCACACAGAAAUGAAAACUUUAGGGCUUCUAAUUGAAAAGGAUAAAAGCUAGUUAAAUUUAAAGAGCAUCAACAAACCUGUGUGUUUGUUUUACUGUACUUUUCUCCUAUUUCCUUGAUCCGGUUCAGCAGAGGUUGGAGCUGCAGAUAACAGCAGUAUUUUAGCAAAAAAAAUUGGAACUUGUGUAGCGGCAUUCAAAGUAUUGAUUAUGACCUUUGUAAGAAAUUCAGGAGUAUAAAUUUGUCCUCGGGGGCCACUUGGGGGAUUUUCAGGUGUAUACUUUCCUGUAAGAGCACCUGCAUAAGUAUAAAUAGUAGAAAUGUCAAUCUUCUCAUCUCUUUUAUCUCUGGAUCGGACAGGCAAAACGUGACUGCUGUGACAACCAAUCUAGCAAGAUCUGCGUUUAAAGGCCAUAAUCGUUGUAACCGGAGUUGUGAAGAGAUUACAAGUACUAAUAUAAUAUCCGAACAGACAUCUUUUAUCAAGAAUCCCUAUGUUUUUUUUGUUUGUUUUAGAAUAACUACGUCCCUUUUGUAUCGUUAAAAACUGUUUAAUUUCUUAACCAAAAACAAGAUGUUUGGAAUUUUUUGUAAGGUAUUUAUUGGUUUGGUGAAAAUAUGAGUGCAAGUGUAGAACAACAAAUAGACAACACCUCCUAUUGCUAAUAAGAUAUUUCACCCUUUACCAUGCAAGACCGCCAUUCGCCAACUAUCCAGCGACAGUUGAAUUCAACAAAAAGAAAAAUACAAGCAAGAUGUUGAAAAGAUAAAGCACAUUAAUGCACAAGAUAUACAGAAUUUUAUGUGCUUCACUGUUUCAUUUAGGCAUAUAGUUGGAAGGUGAUAGCCUGAAAGGUGAAUCUUUAUGUGCACAACUUAAGUCCAUAACUAUCAUGAAACAUAAAAUAAAUACGAUCGUAAAGUUGAAGUUAAGAACUGCUUGACAAGGAAUGCUCGAAAAUUCAAAAUUCAGAUUAAAAGGCCGACUGAGAAAAGCGAGUAGGUCUGCCUUCCCCUAAGUUCUAACUUAGCAAGGAUUAAGUUCACGCAGAGAGGUCUUGAAUACUGUAAAAUAAGAAGAUAUUAUAUCUUCUAGAAAUUCUUUUAUUAAUUCUUAAGCUAACAUAUAUGAGUGACGAUAAGAACAUGGUAAGAAAACACAAGGUUCCAACUUCACCUUGAGCAAUAGGUGAAUAGGCAAUCAAAGUGAUCCCAAGUUCAUCACAGGUAGACUUAACUCCGUUCUCCUCUGGUGCCCUGUAUAUGAGGCUGUAAUUCACUUGAUUCGAUGCUAGUGGGAUACCUCUCUUUUGAAGUUUCGUGUGUGCCUCACGCAAUCGCUUUUCUGAAAUGACAAACUUUAUGCGUCAUCUUCUGGUUACGAGCAUCUAUGAUAGAACCUUUUUUUCAUGGUUUGAACUGCUACUUUUAACCAACAAUAUAAAAUAGAUAAGAUAUUGAUUUAUACCGCUGUAGUUGGAAACACCAACGGCCUUCACAAGGCCCUGCUCAACAGCGUCUCCAAGACCAUCGAGAUACCCUGAAUUGAUUUUCCAAAUACCCCUCUUCAGAAACAAAACGAAAAUAUCAUACAUAACGGUUAUAACCUCCUAAUUAUAUUAGAAGACAUAUUUAUUCAAUGAAAAAAUGGUUUUACUUAUGAACAACCUUUAUUUCCCCAUAUUCCAGGCCUGAAAAAUGACACAAACACUUGAUCAGAUUUUGCAGUUACCUUAGCACAAAGAAGUAUUUAUACAUAGAGCAAAGCCUCAUAAGGGACAUACCAAUGGAGUUGAUACAGUUCUACCGAAGAAAGUUCAAGGCGAUUGAGGGAAUCCUUAAGGGCGCCCAGGACACUUUGUCGGCCCAGCCUCCACGGCAAAGCUGCAAAUUUGGUCGCAACAGCAACUUCUACUCCUGGAUCCUUUUGUUUCCUUUCCUUGAUAAAUCUGUGCAAAAUUCGGAGUCAGUUGUCUACUAAUACUCUCAAAAUACAGAAACCGACGUGAUUCUCUGUACUCUCUGUUGACUUGAAAUUAGAAUGACCUCUACAAAGAAUUCCUACAAUGUACCUUCCUAGUAGAGUUUCAGAAUUUACAGCACCAAAAGAAGCCUGCGAGAAUAGAUAACGAUGAAUUUAUUUGGAUUUGCAACAAAUUUUAUGGAAAUGUAUUUGAGAGGAAUAGAAGAACUAUAAGACGCUUUUCUUACCCUGGAGCCGUACACUUCAGCAGUAUCAAAGAAUGUUAUUCCGCCAUCUACACUGACAUCGAAAGCAGCCUUAGCUGCUUUCAUUUUCCUGUCUGCAGUUUUCUCCAAACAUAUUGUCAUCAUGAACACAUUUGAGUAAUUUCUAAUUUCCCCUUAUAAAUAUUAAAACCAAUCCAAACAAGAAAACUGCUUUAAUAGAUACAAAUCAUACAAUAAUUCAUACAACCAUUCGGAUUUUACGGCCAAACCUAAAACCCCAUCAAUCCACCAGCAAAAAAUUUCCAUUGCUUUAGCAUAAAGAUGAACCAUGAAAAUACAACUCACUUCUCACGUUCAAUCUGAAGCCAUGAUGGGCUCACACUUCACAUUGUUAUUGAAGGUGCAAGGAGUGAAGCUAAAUUAGAAACACCCCUUCAUAUGCUAAAAGUUUUUCUCUUAAAAGUGAUAUUUUACUUUAAACUAAUAUAAACUCGGGUGCAUGGGAAGAACACAUUCACACUAGCCUAUAUGGUUACACCGUACAACAACAUCUGGGAUGCUAAAAGUUAAUAUACAAAGACAAUAAAGGCUCAAAAUUUCAGCAAAACUCAUCUGCAACUAGUACAGCCACAAUCAUCUAUACAUAAAUAAUAUAUAUAAAAAGACGAAAAAUGUGAAGAUUUUGUAAUACCCAAAUUACUCUUCUACUAUUGAAAUUUCAAUAAAUAAAAUAUUUAUGGCUAAAUUUUUUAUCAUAUAUUAUUUUUUUUGUGCCCAUAUUUUUUAAAGUUUUAUUUGUGUUUGUACUAUGUAUAUAGUCACGCGACAGUGUAUAUUUAAUUAAUGAUAGAAAAAUUACAUAUGGUAUAUUUAUGUUUUAUGCCUAAACUUUGUAUCAUAUAUUUAUAUUUUUAGUCUGUACCCACUUUUAAUUUGCAACAUUUUUUUAAAUUUAUAGUAUUUUCUUUUUAGUUUUAUUUUGUACCCAUGUAUUAAUUUCUAUUAGGGCCUAUAUUUUUUAAAAAUUCAUUUGUCCUCAUAAUUUUUUAAUCUUUUAUCUAUUCCCUAAUUUAUUUAUAAUGUACCCAUUCUUCUUUAAUAAUGUACCACUUUGUUAUACAUGAAAUGUACCAAUUUUUUUAACACUUUGGAUACAUUAUAUUUUACCAUUUAUUAUUUCUUAUUUUUACAUAGUUUUAUUCAUUUAUUCAAUCAAAAUAUUUGAAUUUUUUUAUUGUAACCGUUUUUAAUAGUAUUAUAACGAAAGAUUUUAAAUUUAUACGAUUAUAAAUCUCAUAAAAUAUCAAAUAAUUAAUGUCAAAACUAUAAAAAUAUAAAUAUUAAUUGUAAUAUAAUGAGGUGUACAAAGUCAAUAGACUUUGAUCAAACUUUGAAUACCAUUAGGGGGCGUUUGUUGCGCCGGACUAUCUCGGACUGGACUAGCUUCAAGAACUAAGCUGGACUGGCUUAGACUAGACUAAGCUAGACUAACUUAGUGAAGCGUUUGGUGCAGUGUUGGACUAAGAAGCUGGAUAAUAACAAAUUCUAAUAUUAUAUUAUUUAAUAUAUAAAUUAUUAAUAUUUUAUUAUGAUCUAGGUGAUCGGAGAUGACGAGGAGUUUAUCGGGAGUGGUUGUUGAGCAUGACGAGGACGAGAAAGGAUAGUCUUAGCUAGUCCCAUAGUUAUUGGGGGGUCUCGCUAAGACCUCUUAGUGAAGGGUUUUGUCCAUGCUAGUCCCCUUUAGUCUCAUUAAUGUUAGUCCCAGCAUGGAACAAACACGGUAUUGAACUAACAGUUAGUCCAGUUCAGUCCAGUCUCACUUAGUGAGGGCAAACGAACACCCCCGAUUUUAGUCAAAUAAUGUUAAGGAUUAGGAUCUCAUCCAAAUAUCCCAAAAAACAAUCACAAAAAAAAAAAAAAAAAACAAAACAAAGACGUUGGCUGGUUACGUUCAUUACUUUUCAAAAUAUAUUUUAAUAAGAAUUAAUAAUAUCUAGUAACAUAAUAAAGCACCGAUUUGAAAACGAAUUUUCAAUUAUUUAAUCAUUUCAGUAAUGUUUAAGUGAAAUUUCAGCAACUUACCAUCCCAUUGGAAGUUAUUCCAAUAACUGGUGUCACCCCAUGACCAAGCUCCAAUCCCAAGCCUUGUCACCUUCAAAUCAGAGCCACCCAAUUUCACCCUAUCAUCCUCUGCGGUCACAUUCUCAGAAGCAACAGCUCUAACCCUAGGAACUCUCCUCUCACUCAAAGCAGAAAAACAUGCACUGCUAAGAUGCAUAGCCAUGUUUCCCAGGAACAACCCAAUUGAAGAAACACAAAACCAAUCUAAAACAACAAAUGGGUUUUCGAAUUCGAACAAAUUUAUGAUAAAAAAAACAAGUCAAAUUUCCAGAAAGUGGAAAAAAGAGUGAUCUGAAAGUGAGGUUUCUGAAAUUUAAGAACUCCAAACUCCAGAGAAACUUGGAGGGUCGGAGACAAAGAUUUGUGGUAAAUUAAUAAGUUGUCACAGAAGUAGUUUGUGUUGUUGGGUGAAGAAUUGAAGAUUGAAGAGUUGGGACAGGUGAAUUUUGUGGGGUGGGAAUAGUGAAGAGAGACUUGGUCCUCACAGUGUACACGUUCGUGUUGAUUUUUCACACGAAAAAAGGACGGCUGGAAUUGCAUGAGCCAUCAGUCCCAGCGCGACCAUCAAGUGAAGUGAUAACUUUAACUGGGCUCUGCCUAAAUUUUUGACAACUUUGUCGACUGCCCGGCCAAAAGAAGACAACUUGGGUCAGGAUUCUCAGUGUGAACUACAAGAUUCAGUACUGUUUGAUCCAUAAGGAAGUUAUGAUCAAAGGGAUAGGAUUCUCUUAUCUUUUUUUUCCUCUCCUUCUCUUCCCUUUUAUUUGAACAAUCACGGUUAAGUCACAUUAACAUCUUAUAUUAAUUUUUUAUAAAUAGAGAAAGAGAAAAACAAAAUAAAGAAUGUAAGAGAAUGGGAUGGAAAGGAAGAGAAAGAGGAGGGAAGAGAAUCCUAAUCCAUGAUCAACAGUUAGACUCAGUUGCAAUGCUUGUGUGUUUGGACUUUGGACGAGAGAUUCCAAACUACGGUAGAACUUGGAUAAAUAACCUCGGUUAAGUAAUAUAUCUGACUGGUUUCGACUUAAAGAUAAUGUGCUAAAUUAAUAGAUGGCUAAAGUUUUAAGAUAAUAUAUUAUAAAAAAUUCAUAUAGGUCUCACUUAAUAUAUAAAUUAAUAAUUCGUGCUGGUCGACACUCGGGGGUGACGAAGCCAUUAAAAACAUGCAUACAAAUAAAAUAUGUAAUUAGAAAGAGAAAUACUAGUGCAGGAACGUGUUUAGAGCAUACAACUAACCAAGAAUAAAGUGAAAGAAAUAUUAUAGAAAGGUACGAACCGAGGAAUGUGUACUACACAAAGGAGACUCAAAGAUGCCUAAGCGGAAGUGCCCUGACGUCGGGAUCGUGUGCCUCGAAUCUAAAUCCUGAGGGGCGCAAAACCAAAAUAGUGAGUGGACCAAAGUUUAUAAUAAUAGUAUUAAUAAUAAGAAAAACCAUUUCCUUCAUGAACAUACUAACCCCCUAUUUUGAAAACAAAUAUAAUACUACAUAUAGUAAGUUUUCUGAAAUCUCUAGCAUGCCAUGACAUCAUUCGUAAAACAAGUACGAGUAAAACGAUGCUCAAUAACAGUGCUAUCAUUGCCCAAAGGAAAAUCCAUAAAUCUUAUCAAUAUUGUACUCUCUAGGGGUAUCAUAGUUGCCUGAAGGCAGUACAUGUCCAUCACCCAAAGGUGAAGUUGUACGACACUGGGUUACGCCAGUGAAGAAACCUGGUAAGCCUCAUCAUUCAAGGGUGAAGUUAUACGACUCUAGGUUAUGCCAGAUAAGAAACAUAUAACAUCACACACCGACACUAGUCCUGGGCUAGUGAAGCUGGGGAUAUAUCAUCAACUCCUCAUUCGCCCGAAGGUAGUACAUGUCCAUCAUCCAAAGGUGAAGUUGUACGACACUGGGUUACGCCAAUGAAGAAAUAUGGUAAGCCCCAUCACCCGAAGGUGAAGUUGUAUGACUCUGAGUUACGCCAGAGAAGAAAUAUAUACAUAGAUAUCCUCAACUGUGUCAUAGACGUCUACAUACCCGUGUUUUGUGGAUGUAUUGUAUGAUAACCCCAUAGUUGCCUGAAGGCAGUACAUGUCCAUCACCCAAAGGUGAAGUUGUACGACACUGGGUUACGCCAGUGAAGAAACCUGGUAAGCCUCAUCAUUCAAGGGUGAAGUUAUACGACUCUAGGUUAUGCCAGAUAAGAAACAUAUAACAUCACACACCGACACUAGUCCUGGGCUAGUGAAGCUGGGGAUAUAUCAUCAACUCCUCAUUCGCCCGAAGGUAGUACAUGUCCAUCAUCCAAAGGUGAAGUUGUACGACACUGGGUUACGCCAAUGAAGAAAUAUGGUAAGCCCCAUCACCCGAAGGUGAAGUUGUAUGACUCUGAGUUACGCCAGAGAAGAAAUAUAUACAUAGAUAUCCUCAACUGUGUCAUAGACGUCUACAUACCCGUGUUUUGUGGAUGUAUUGUAUGAUAACCCGCUAGAUAAGUACCAAAAACAUAUCUCAAAAUCUCAUCUCAAAUUCGGAACUCAAAAACUCAAAGUCUCAUCUCAUCAAUCCAUGAUAUUGCACAAUCAUAAAUCUGUAAAAUAAAUCAUAUUUGAAAGCCAUAAAAAACGGGAAUCCAAUAAUUUAUAUCCUUUAGUAAAACUUAAUUUUGAUAUAUCAUAAUUAUUUCAAAAGCAUUAAUAUAGAAUUCACAAGACAUAAUAGAAACCAUGUUCAUUUCAUAAAAUAUGCAAUGCAUGCAAACCUAACAUUUUAUAAAACCAUGCAAGUUAAGAAGGGGUCCACUCACAGAUAUUUUGUUGCCCAGGAACCGCUUAAGCUAGUGAGGAUUGAGUCAUUUUCCACCGAUGCACCUAACCACAAUUAGGAACCAUUUAGUAAAACUCUACUAAAACAUUAGAAUUUGAGAAAACAGACGGCGGAUUUGGAUUUGGCACGUUGAAAAACCUAAAGAGGCACCUUGGGUUUCCCCCAUGUGCCAUCGCACGAGCUGCCACAGGGCGGUGGCCCGGAAGGCCACGCCCGGUUUCCGGCGAACGAAAACCCAAUUUUUUUACUUACUCUAAAAAUUGCCAAACUUUUACAAGCAAGUAGAGCUCAAUGAAAGGAACAACUUUCAUACAUGGGCCGAAGUCCAAUUCGGCCAGAAAACACCUCAAAUCACCCUCGAUCCGCCGGAACCCUAUAAAUGGGUAUUCAUUUAUUCGUCCUCAAAUCGAACUCCGAUGCCCCUGAUCUUGUUUGGGGCUUGUUCCUGGGGUUUAAGGAAGUCCUUUAGUGGUGGUGGUGCUGGAAGGAAUAAGCUUCAAAAAUGGUCGAUCACCGAUAAAGGGUUUUCAAACCCGUGGGUACUGUGCACCACGAAAUGUGGCCAAAACUUGUCGGGUUUGAGGUGGGAAUCAUAAGAAGGAUUAUGUGGUGAUGUUUACAGGUGGUGGUUGGCCGUGAAAAGCUAGAAAAACGCCUUGAAAGGCGUCAGAAAAGUGGCAGAACACCAGGUCAGAGACUGGGUCGCAACUGGAAACGGGUUGGGUGGUCUAGGGUCCAAUUGGCUACUCCUCACCUUUCUCAUUUCUCUCAUUUCUCAGCUUUCUAAUUGGCCGUCCUCCCUACUUUCUUCUCUCAUCCCUCCAUCUUGGCCACACAUGUGGCACCAUCUCAUUGCUCCAUCAAAUCUGGAGCCUUCUAGAUGAUGGUCAAAUUAUCAUUUUGCCCUCAACUUCGUAGUUCCGUAAAAUCCUCGUUUUAGCUCCAAAUUUAAUUUCACUUGUGCCCACGCGUUCGUAACACUGAGUACUACAAGAAUAUGCCAAGGAAACGGAUCUUACGUGACACGACAAGACGGUCAACAAAAGUCAACGCAUUUACCUCGAAUGGCAUUUUUUUUAAUUUCACAUUUAAAAAUUAUAAAAACCGUAAUAUUUGGGGACAGGUUGUUACAAAAUAGCACUUGACAUUAUUAACAUUUCUGGUCAUGUUUGACAGAAAAGUCUAGGUGUUUAUAUCUUUUAAACAAAAGUUAAAGGAAAAAAAAAGAAUAUUUAAACAGAUAUCCCUUUUAGCCAUUUUAGAUGCAAACUCAAAUAGUCUUUGAUUACAUAUGCAAUACAACAUUAGACAAAGGAUCUUAAUGUUCUACAUUUCAAAAAUUUCCAAGUUCAAAACGACGUCUCUUUGGCCUGAUUAUUUUUUUUUAUUUUUAAAAAAGGCUAUGCAGCCAUCGCUACGCAUCAACAAGGAGCAAACUUGCUAGUUUUCCGAUGAACCAGAAGGGCGGCCCAUCGCUCUUGUGCUCGAUUUCUGGCAAGCGGAGGUGCGUCCUAUGCAUGUAGCCUAAAUCCACUAGUAACAUGUCCUUGGUUAGAAAAGCAAUUCAACAUUAGAUAGAGCGUCCCAACGUUUAGUAAUGCCUUAGUUAAAAAUGUAUUUCAAAUUUCUCUAAUGUUUUGUACUAUAUUUCUGCUACUUAGUAUUAUGGUUUAGUCGUAUUCUUCCACUUAUAAGUAAAAGAUUUUAGAUUUAAAUAUCGAGUUCAAUACUAAUUUAUUAUCUUAUUUUUUAGUUUAAAUAUAUUGUUGUAUUAAAAAUAUGUUUUGAAAUGCAAUUUUUAUUUAUAGCCCAAAUCCAUUAGUCCUGAAUUAUCUCUUAUUUACCCACACCAUUUGGAAUACCAAUUGGGCCCUUCAGCCUGUAGGCUCCUCAAUUCAAGCCCAGAAACCACUAAAAUAUUUUCAAGGUGCCCAAAGAAUUAUUGAGCCAACUCCACUACAAAAUUGGAAAGAAAAACUAGGAAGAUGUGAUUAUGUGAGGCCCAUUCCAUGCAGAAGAGAAUGGAAACUGAUCAGAGAAACUCCAUACCGCCCAAAAAUCUUCCUGAAAUUUAGACCGCAAAAACUAUUGUACUUUCUUUGUACAAUCAAGUUUGAAUCCAUCGCUCGCAAAGUUUAGAUUAGAUUAAUUAGAGAAGAAAAAAUUAACAUAUCCAAGCAUAUAAGCCUCUGCACUUAUCCUUUAAAUUAGUUAAUGAUCUUUCAUGCUAUAUCUGAACUGAACAAGCUAGUCUGGGACAAAACUGAAAACCCUAGCAAGGUUGAGAAAACUGGGUUUUUGCAUAGAUUUUCAUGGCUGUUCUGAUGCUUUUGAAAACCCUAGCAAGGUUGAGAAAACUAGGUUUUUGCAUAGAUUUUCAUGCCUGUUUUGAUGCUUUUGGUACGGUUUCUUGUGUGGUUUUGUGCUAAUAAGAUUUUGUGUCGCAUGAGCUUUCCAACAGUAUACCAUACAUUCAUACGCGUCUGGCGUCCCCAUUUAAAUGACAAAAGAAAUUAAAGCUCAUUUGCCUUUGUACAUUACAACUGAAAAAAAUGGUGAUAAUUUUUCUUUUUUUUCGGUAACGACUCCGGAUCAUAGAUUAAGAGCUGGUUUGGUAUUGCUGUGCUUUGAGAAAAAACUACUGUGAGAAUAAGCGGCUGUGCUGUGAGAAUGAGCGGCUGUGAAAUAAAUCAGUAGAGUGUUUGGUAGUGAGUCUUUUCAUUAAAGGAGCACUGUAGCUCCGUGUGCUUUGAAAAAAAGCCAGUUUUCCAAAGCUGCAAAUAGCAGCUUCAGCUUUUUCUUUUGAUUUCAGCUUAUUCUCACAGCAGCUUCCAAAAUAAGCCAUUUUUUUUAGUUUACCAAACACCUAAAACCCUCACAGCUUUUUUUCAUAAGUGUUUUUUUUUUAAACACCUCACUCCCAAACCACCCCUAAGUCACAGGGAAAAGCAAGAUACAGCAGAUGUAAUCUAUAUACUUGUUUCUAUUGAAUGUUUGUUGCAAUACUAUAUAUAUGAAACCUUCCCAAUCAAACAAAACGAUAUAUCUUUGAGAACUGGCACGGGCCAAUUGCCAAAACCGAGCAUUGCUCAACCACCUGUUGAGAAAAAGUAGAAGUACCACACCAUCCUGUACCCCAUCGUUGCCAAGCUCACAAUCUUGAGGAAGUGCCUCAAGCUUUCUCAAUGCAUACAUUUAACUAUGCGGCUGGGGCAACAGCUCCUGCAUCAUCGUCGUCAUCGUCGUCGUCAUCCCAAUUAUUCUUUUUGUAAACAUAGAGCUGAGUCUUCAUCAGGUCCUCCUUAACAACCAACUUGGAAGAAUUCCAAGUCGCCAUAGCAAAUGAUAUAUAUUUAUAUAUGUGUGUGUCUGUGUUUAUAAAUAAAUAUUAAAUCGCUUAAUGACCAACAAUGGAACUGCUUACCUAAGAAAAUGACCAAGAAACUAAAUAAGUCAUGUACUGCAGGUAGACCUUUAUAUUUUAUGCUGGAGACUGCAGU